RNAcentral lists this long non-coding RNA (60970 nucleotides) under Panax ginseng (ginseng). Its description in RNAcentral is "long non-coding RNA (PGIN_LNC010327)". The record is from RNAcentral. Lineage: Eukaryota; Viridiplantae; Streptophyta; Magnoliopsida; Apiales; Araliaceae.
GCAUUUGGAGGCGAAUUUGUGACGAAUUGAAAGGGGAUUGUAGGCGAAAGGAAAUUUGGCAAAGCACCGAACAUAACAAUCAAAUACAAACCAACUUUCUAGCACGAAAUCCGUACUAUGAUACCAUCUUAAAAUUUAUUGUAUAGGGCUAAGGAAUGACAAGGCACCCUACAGAGUAUCUGCAGGUUUUUUAGAGUCAUCGUAUAUAAAGCUCUCCCGUAUUUGCAUCCAUCCCUUGCAUGAUAUAGAAGAAAGUAAUAAGAAUAUGGUUAAGGAGAUAGAAGAACUAAACCUAGAUUAAAUAAUCAGAUAUGGCUUUUCUACGUUUUUUGCCUGCGCUUCCCGAACCCUAGAUACAUACAUAGAUGCAGAUGGAGAUGGAGUUCUUGCCAUUUAUAGGCCCAGUAAACAAUGGUUUUGACCAAAUUAUUUCCAUCGUCUUUCUAUCCUACUUUCUUACUCCACUUUAGAUGAUAUAUUCCCCUAUUUUUGCAACAACAAAAAAAAACACUUAUUUUUGUAAUUUAAGAUCAUUUUUUAAGAUCGUAAAAUACAAAAACCUGAUUACCGGAUUUUAUUGAUUAUAAUAUCCAUUCAUCAACUAGUUUUAAUCUGUUGAAUACCAACGGCCAUAUGGUUCUUUCAAUGUGCAUUUGUAAGCAUAGGCACCCCAUGCUAAGCUUUUUUCAUUACCAACACUAAAGUAUAAUUACAAAAUAUGAAACCAUGAAUCAAAAAUCACUCUUUUCAAAAAAUAAUUGUUGUAAACAUAGACAUAAAGAAUCGAAAGAUAAUAAUAAGCAAACGAAAGAAAUGUAAUGGUGUUUGUGACGAAUUAAAAGGGGGUUGUAAGCGAAAAGAAAUUUGGAAAAGUGCCAAACAUCACAAUCAAAUACAAACCAACUUUCAAGCACGAAAUUCGUACUACGAUACCAUCUUAAAAUUUCAUGUAUAGGGCUAAGGAAUGAUAAGGAUCCAACAGAGUACCUGCAAGUUUUCAGAGCCACCAUAUGUAAAGCUCUCCCCUAAUUGCAUCCAGUGUGACGCCCCCAAAAUAGGUAUACAUCACCCAUCUUGAGUCGCUAAAUACAUGGUACAAAAUUCAAAUACAACUUAAUUAUACAACAGUCGUGUAAAAUACGAAAAAACAUAAUCUAAGAGUUUUAAUAAGAAUAUUGUCAUCUAGACAAUAUCCACACUCAAUGGAGUCCUCAUUACAUUUAUUGUCACACUAUUUAACAGAAUAGUGAGGACUACUAAUGCUGUCAUCUGGACCGUCACUCCAUUCCCCGACUAGUCCCGGCUACGUUCUNNNNNNNNNNNNNNNNNNNNNNNNNNNNNNNNNNNNNNNNNNNNNNNNNNNNNNNNNNNNNNNNNNNNNNNNNNNNNNNNNNNNNNNNNNNNNNNNNNNNACUCAGCUUAAUAAAUAAAUCAUAUCAUCGAGUCAUCCUUGCAUUACGGGCCAAGGAUAUUCAUUAAAUCAUCAAUGGUUAUGACUAUACCGAAUAAUCCCUGGUCAUAAUCAUACCAAAAACUGUCCAUCAAUGCACUAUAGGCUACUGAGGACUUUUACCACAUCAUUUAUAACAUUACAGGUCAUGAUUAUAUUGAAUAAUCCCUGGCCAUAAUCAUACCAAGUCCAUCUAUGCACGUAAGCCAAAGAUGACUUUCAUCACAAUAUAAGCAUGAAGAUGAUGACAAUGACAUAAUAAUUUAAUAAAAUAAGUUCAAGAAUAAUUUAACCAGUAUAUUCUACUAAUUUCAUGGAGUAUAGAAGCCAAAACUUUAACCGAAUGAGUGUCAUAGAAUAUAUGAAACUUCAAAUGGAUUUUCACCCGCCAUGCGGUAAUCCACGUAGACAGAUCAUUUCCACAAUUUAAUAAGGAAUGAAUACGAAGGAUCAUUCACCAUGCAUGUGAUAAUCCAUAUAGACAGGUUAUUCCAACAGAAUAAUAAAGAAUGGAACCAGGUCAUGCAUAAUCCGCACAGACAGGAUAUUCCAACAGAAUAAUAAAGAAUGGAAUAACAAAGAAUUCAGCGCCUUAAUAGGAAGUGAUAAGAUUAGUCUAUUUUAUGUGAAACCUAUCUGGUAGUUAAAGAUGUAAAUUCUGAUGUGUUUAUAAACAAAGGAAUAUUUUAAUGUUUUAAAUCCUGUAGAUUCUUUAUCUCGGGAUAGUUGAUGUAAAUAGCAGUGAUGUUAUCGUAUGAUGUUAAAACUUUUGCAUUGAAUAAAUGACAGAGUUUAUUUGAAUUGAUGUCUUAAGUGAAUUAUGAUUAAAUGUUUUAGUUAAGCCUUAAAUGUUUAAGGGAUUGAAUAAAGACCUAAUAAGCAUAUAUUCUUAACAGAAAUAUGCCGCCUAGAAGAAGACAAAACCGCCAACAAGCUCAAGGAGAAUCGAUGAAUAACAACAACGACGCCAAUGCUAACCCUGUUUAGCAAUUGGUGAAUCUAUUAGCCGGAGCAAUUAAUAAUCAACCACAAGCUCCACCAAACACAUCGUUUAAGGAUUUCAAGGCGGUGGGACCGCCAGAGUUUAAGAGUUCCAUAAACCCGAUCGAGGCUCAAACCUGGGUUAUGGAGAUGGAGAAGGUGUUUGAUGUCGCUAGAGUAAGAGAAGACCAGAAAACUGCAUACGCAACAUUCAUGCUGAAGUCUGAAGCCAGUUAUUGGUGGCAGGCAAAUAAAGUACGGGGAGGAGAAGGUGUAAUAACCUGGGGGAGAUUCAAGGAGAUAUUUUUCGAGAUGUAUUUUCUGACCAGUUCACAAAACCAAAUAGAAGUUCAGUUUCUGGAGUUGAAACAGGGGAGUACGUCUGUAGCAGAUUAUGCGGCAAGGUUCAACGAGUUGGCUAGGUUCGCCACAUACCAAGUGCAUACUGAUGAGAGGAAGGCAAGACGUUUUGAACAGGGACUGAAGCCCUGGUUGUAUAGCAAGGUGUCAAUGUUCCAAUUGAAUACUUUUGCUGGAGUGUUAGAGAAGGCCAUACUCGCUGAAGGUGGAAGUGAUGCGAUAACUAAAUAUAAUCAGGAUCAGAAGAAGAAAAAGAGUGAGAAUGAAGGAAUUAACAAGACUGGUGGGAGUAGCACGGGGGGUAGUCAUAAUCAGAAGAGAAAGUGGUCUAAUAACUUAUCAGCUGGAAGUCAACAAGGAGGGCAGAAGAAGAAGAUUGAAGCGUGCCAAACCUGUGGAAAAGCUCAUCUGGGAGUUUGCAUGAAGGGAAAACGAGUGUGCUACAAUUGUGGUCAGGAAGGCCACAUAGCACCUAACUGUCCUAACCCAAAGAAGGGUGCCUGCUUCACUUGUGGCUCAAAGGAUCAUCUUCUAAGGGAUUGUCCUAAGAAGGGAUCUAGAGGGACAGGAUCAGGAGGGAAUAGAGGAAACAGCGGUGGAAGCACUCUGACUAUCACAGGACCAACUGCAACCAACCGACCGACAGCCAGAACAUUCAACAUGACAAUGCAGGAUGCAGUGCAGUCUCGCGAUGUAGUGUUAGGUAUCAUUCCGAUCAAUAAAAUUAAUGCUUAUGUAUUAUUUGAUUCGGGUGCUACUUGAUCAUUUAUAUCCGAUGACUUUGGUAAGAACUUAGAAUUGCUUAAGGACGAGUUAGAAUACCCCAUGAACAUAGAAAUUGCGAAUAGAGAAAUAAUCCCUGUUAAGUACAUGCAUAAGAACUGUAGAGUGGAUAUUAAGGGUAAUAUCAUGAACGUAGAUCUUAUCCCUAUUCGACUUGGAGAAUUCAACGUUAUUUUGGGUAUGGACUGGUUAUCCAAUUAUGGGGCGGUAAUUGACUGCUAGAAGAAGCGUAUUAACCUUAUGACUCCGUCAAAGGUUGUGUUUUAUGGUAGCAAGUUGUCUAUACAAGCGAGUUAUCUGACGAUGAUGCAGGCCAGGAGGUUGUUAAGGCAAGGCUGUGUAGGAUAUCUAGCUUACAUAGUCGAUAGUUGUAAAGAGAAUCCAAAAAUAGAGGAGAUACCAGUAGUGAGAGAUUUCGCAGACGUAUUUCCGGAUGAUUUGCCAGGACUUCCUCCAGAUAGAGCAGUUGAAUUCGUGAUCGAUUUGGCUUUAGGAAUGGCUCCAAUAUCGAAGGCACCGUAUCGAAUGACACCGGUAGAGAUGAAAGAACUGAUGGUUCAACUACAAGAAUUACUGGACAAGAAGUAUAUCCAACCAAGCGUAUCACCGUGGAGAGCUCCAAUUUUAUUUGUGAAGAAGAAGGAUGGGACAAUGCGGCUCUGCAUCGACUAUAGAGAACUUAAUAAGGUCAUAAUUAAAAAUAGAUAUCCAUUAUUACUAAUCGACGAUCUGUUCUAUCAUGUAAAGGGAGCAAGAUAAUUUUCAAAGAUAGACUUGAGGAGUGGUUAUCAUCAAUUGAAGGUGAGACCAGAGGAUGUACCGAAGACAGCGUUCAGAACAUGAUACAGUCACUACGAAUUUUUGGUAAUGCCAUUUGGGCUAACGAAUGCUCCUGCAGCAUUUAUGGGCUUAAUAAAUGGAGUGUUCAAGCCAUUUUUGGACAAAUUCAUAGCGGUAUUUAUAGAUGAUAUUUUGGUAUAUUCAAAAACCAAGGAAGAACAUGAAGAGCAUUUGGGUGAUGUUAGAGACAUUGAGAAGAGAGAAGUUAUAUGCUAAGUUUUCGAAUUAUGAAUUCUGGAUUGAAAGAGUACAAUUUCUUGGACAUGUGAUCGAUAAGGAUGAAAUUUCAAUGGAUCCUUCCAAAGUCAAAGCAGUGAUUAACUGGGAUCAGCCGAAGACGCCGUCAGAAGUAAGAAGUUUUCUUGGAUUGGCAGGUUAUUACAGAAGAUUCAUUCAGGACUUUUCCAAGAUUGCGACUCCGUUGACAAAUUUGACUAGGAAAUCGGUGAAAUUUUCUUGGACGGAGAAGUGUGAGGAAAGAUUUCAAGAAUUAAAGAAGAGGUUGAGUUCAACACUUGUGUUAUCUCUUCCGGAUGACACAUGAAAUUUUGUGGUUUAUAGUGAUGCAUCACAUAAAGGACUUGGCUGUGUGCUUAUGCAAAAUGACAGAGUCAUUGUGUAUGCGUCACGAAAACUAAAAGAUUAUGAGAAGGGGUAUCUGACCCAUGACUUGGAGUUAGUUGCAGUGGUUUUUGCUUUGAAAAUCUGGAGGCACUAUCUCUAUGGGGAGAAGUGUGAAAUAUAUACAGGCCACAAGAGUCUGAAAUAUAUUUUUACACAGAAAGACUUGAACAUGCGCCAAAGAAGGUGGUUGGAGUUAAGUAAAGACUACGAUUGUGAGAUUCUAUACCAUCCGGGUAAGGCAAAUGUGGUUGCCGACGCCUUAAGUAGAAGGGGUCGGGAGAAACUGAUGAUCUUGACCGAUCAGGAGGAGUUAAUUUCAGCAAUAGAAAAGAUGGAAUUGGAAGUGAAGUAUCCUAUGGAGAUUGAUGAGAAGCUGUUUCAGAUGUAAUCUGGUACAACUCUACUAGACAAGAUUAAGGAGGCUCAACUUCAGGAUGACGAAUGUAAAACGGUGAAAAAGAAUAUAUCCGAAGGAACUGAAUCAAGAUUAAAGAUAAAUAAUGAAGGAAUACUGAGAUUUGAGAGUAGAAUUUGGGUAUCGCCAGUACCAGAGAUUAAGGAAAAAAUUUUGAGCGAGGCUCAUAACUCACGAUAUUCGAUUCACCCUGGUAUUACCAAGAUGUACAAAGAUCUUCGACAACAUUUCUGGUGGCCAAAUUUGAAACGAGAGGUUGCAGAAUGUGUUGCCAAGUGCCUGACAUGUCAGAAAGUGAAAGCAGAACAUCAGAGUCCGAGUGGGUUACUACACCCUUUAGAGAUUCCAGAAUAGAAAUGGGAACAUAUUACAAUGGAUUUCGCGGUUGGCCUACCAACAAGUCAGAAAGGCUACGACGCAGUAUGGGUUAUUGUUGACCGAUUGAUGAAAUCCGCACACUUCCUUUCGAUCAAAAUCAGAUUCUACUUAGAUCAUUUGGCAAGGUUAUAUGUGAAAGAGAUUGUUUCGAGACACGGAGUCCCGGUGUCAAUUGUCUCAUAUAGAGAUCCGCGCUUUACGUCCAACUUUUGGAAACGUCUACAGGAAUGCAUGGGUACAUAGUUGCGAAUGAGCACGACAUAUCACCCUCAGACAGAUGGACAGAGUGAAAGAACAAUUCAGUCAUUAGAAGACAUGUUAAGAGCUUGUAUAAUGGACUUUAAAGGAAAUUGGGAUGACCAUUUACCGCUCGUAGAGUUCGGAUACAACAACAGUUAUCAUGCUAGUAUUGGCAUGCCGCCUUAUGAAGCGUUAUACGACAGAAAGUGCAGAACUCCAUUAUACUGGGAUGAAGUUGGAGAAAGACAAUUACUAGGCCCGAAAUUGGUACAACAAAUAACAGAAAUUGUCAAAGUGAUCCGAACACGAUUGAUAGCAUCUCAAGAUAGACAGAAGAAAUACGUCGAUCCACACCGUAAGAAUGUUGAGUUUGAACCGGGUAGUUAUGUGUUCUUAAAGGUCUCUCCCUGGAAGGGAAAGAUCAGGUUCGGAAAGAAAGGGAAAUUAAGCCCAAGAUUUAUUGGACCCUUUGAAGUUCUACGAAGGGUCGAAGAGGUUGCAUAUGAGGUAGCCUUACCUCCAGCUCUAGAGAAUAUCAACAACAUUUUCCAUGUUUCAGUUCUACGACCCUACAAACUUGAUUACAAGCACGUGAUUGAAUAUGAACCCCUACAUUUUGACAAAGACUUAUCUUACGAAGAAAUUCAUGUUCAGAUUGUUGACCAAAAAGAGCAAGUUUUAAGAAAUAAAGUAAUACCUUCUGUUAAGGUAAUUUGGAGGAACCACAACGCUGAAGAAGCAACGUGGGAACUUGAAGAGAAUAUGAUGAAGAAUUAUCAUCAUCUAUUUACUUAGACUAGUAUAAGUGAUUCUGGGGGCAGAAUCUUUGUAAGGGGGGGNNNNNNNNNNNNNNNNNNNNNNNNNNNNNNNNNNNNNNNNNNNNNNNNNNNNNNNNNNNNNNNNNNNNNNNNNNNNNNNNNNNNNNNNNNNNNNNNNNNNUUAAUAAUUUGACAUAAUUAAUAAAUGAGAAAUUUAAUUAUGUGACUAUGUGAAUUAAUGAGAAAUUAUUAUAUAUUAUUUAAAAUAAAUUAAAUAAGAUAUUUGAUUUAUUUCAUAAAGGGGUGUGACACUAUUAAACUAUAAUAUAAGAGAUUUAUUAAAUUAAAUAGGAAUGAAUCUUUUAAAGCUAGCCAAACAUGGCCUUAGUGGGAGUUGAGGACAGUUAACCCAUGAUUGGGUAACUGAACACAACGCGUCAGUUCUUCAUUAUAUACGCUUUCCUUCUUUUAUUUUUUUAAGUCUUUUAUUUUCUAAGUCCGGCAAAGCAAAAACAGAGAGAGUUUUGAGAAUCAGUAAGAUUAAAGGAGAAGAAGUGUGAGAAAAUUGGGAGUUGGUAUCACCCUGUGUAAUCCAAGCAGAGUAAUCAAGGGUAAACUCUUCUUCCCCAAAUUUUAAAUUACGUUGUUUAAGUUUUGGCUUUCAAGUUCUGUUAAAUUCGUACAAUUGGAGAUAAUAAGGAUUAUAUGCAUAUAUGUGUUAAGAUAUUAUUAUAAUGUGUUUUCAUAUAUAUUGUAUGGUUCCAUAUCAUCAGUUUCAUAAUAUUAUACAGUUUAUGGUUACAGAGUAUAGAAUAUGUCCAUAUGGCCCUUAUACGUGAAUUUAAUAUGUCAAACAUAAAUUGUUUUGUAAAAUUCCCACUUGUAUAUAAUUAUGCAUGCUAAAAUGAAGAAAACAAAACUUGAAUGGAUGGAUUUGGUGUUAUAAAGAAUCCGUAGUGUUAAUUUUCAUGUUUUAUGUUCAAAACCUUCAAGAACAUCAAGAAUAGUGAAAUUUGCAUGUUUUAAUUCUGUAAUUAUGAGUUUUAAUUGGUUAAAAUCACUCUAUAAAGGUUGGGUAAUGAUUAUGUACGAAUUCUAGUAUGUGGGUAUGUUUAAUUUGAUGAAUUUAAUGAUCAUGUAAUGAUAAUUUUGUCUGAUUUUGUGUUUUUUGCGAACUGGAAAUUCAUAAACUGGAGUUUCGCGCCGCGACGCCAACUCCAUGCUUAAUUCCCGCGCCGCAGCGCCAUGUCCCAAGCUGCAACGCCACGGCGCCGCAGCGCCAAGAACCAGUAUAACAGUGGCCCCACAGCGCCACUUAGCAGACUGGUCCAGAAAUGAAUUUUUUAAAAUGCUCAAGUCUAGCAAUGUGUUAGUAACUUAACCUAAUGAACAUAAAAAUAUGUUAGACAUAUAAUGAGGUGUUAAAAUAAAUUCUUAACAUGUCAAUAACACAUUUAUGUGUGAAUUGAAUUAUUGAACACAUAGUUAGCUUAUUGUUCAUAAAGUGUAAAUUGUGUGUCAAUGAAUGUAGUAAUUUGACUAAGUAUGGUCAUAAUCAAAGUUAGACAAAGAGAAUGAACUUGUGAUGACUAGUACGUUAUAAUUGACUGGUAUUGUGAACGUAAAUGAUAUGUAGGAUUUAAAUCAAGGAACAAGUAUAAUUAACGCGUAAUCUACGCACGAGGCAAGUUUCCUAACCCUACUCGUUAUCUUUAUAUGAGCUUAUAAGUUGUCUCUUUACAUCGAGCAAAUUCUCGUUAUUAUUGAUCAAGUACAUUUUAUUAUAUUACAAUGUAUUAAUCUUUCAAAGUAUGAUUCUGUUAUACAAUAAUUAUUCUAUUGUAUACCUUUUGAGAUUGCUAUUCAAUUUUAAAUUAUCAGUUACUGUUGAACUUUGUUAGACUAGUGAACUUUUAAUGAUUCGACUAGUCCAUAGUUGAUGAGCGUUCUAAAUUUUAGAACCCUUGAUGAAUUAUCCAAACCAAACUUCCUUUGGUGCGGACUCUAAUGUCAAACUGAGAUGAACAACCCUGUAUAGGGGAUUACUUAUGCGUUAGUGUUAAAAUAUUGUUCACAGUAUGGUACUAAGGGCUGAUCCCCCUAAGUACGAGAAGAAGAGUCCAUAUUCUUAUGACUGUUAAGGUUUCAAGUAUAAACACUUGACAACCUAGGACAUAGUUCAAGGUCUUAUGACCCUCAGAAGUUCUUUUGUCUCUUGCUAUUUAUUCUUGAUUCAAAAGUUGAGUUUCCUAUUUCAGAAGUCUUUGAUUUAUUUGCAUGUUAUUAUUCAUUUGUUAUAUUGUUAUACUUGUGGGGAAUCGUGCUCACUCUUGCGUAAUAAUAACAUUGCAGUUAAGAACGAAAGAUCUGACGAGCCUUCCACUAGUCGCAAGGGCAAGGUUAACAUAUGAAGAAGACUUGUUGUUAUUAUGUAUUUAUGUUCAGACUUGAUGUUGUUUAAGACUUGUUAUUUGUUUAUGAUUCCGCACAGAUGUUUAAGGUUAGAGUGACCUAGGAUUGUAUUUUAUGCGGAUGAUGUAACCCCAUAAGGGGAGAUUUAUUUAUUUAAUUCUAUUUAUUGCAUGGUCUAAUUUUAUUUAUGGGUAGAUAAAUAGAUGAUAUUUGUACAGUGAACAUCAAAUUCUGCGAAAAUGGAAGUACCCGGAUUUGGGGGUGUCACACCAGUACCCAGUUUCUUUCUAAGGUAAGGAGUAUUAUUUCUUUCAUAUUCAUGAAGAGAGCUUCUGUUAUUCCAUUCUAUAUUAUUAUGUUGGAAUAACCUGUCUAUGCGAAGUACCGCAUACAUGGUGAAAUUNNNNNNNNNNNNNNNNNNNNNNNNNNNNNNNNNNNNNNNNNNNNNNNNNNNNNNNNNNNNNNNNNNNNNNNNNNNNNNNNNNNNNNNNNNNNNNNNNNNNUGUUCAUCUUUGCACUACGGGCCAAAAAUAUUCAUCAGAAAUCAUUCAUCUUUGCACUACAGGCCAAAUAUAUUCAGUAAUAUCAUCAUUUAGGACUGAGGAUGAUGAAAAACAUUUUAAAGGAAACGAAUCCAGUGAAACAAAAUAACAAUUAUUAAGGAUUCGUAUUUUGGUUUAUCCAUGUCCAAAAAUACCUCAUAAAUAAUCAUAGUGGAGUAAAAUUCAAGAAUGAUCAAAACAUGGAUACAAUCAAAAUUAGUAUCCAUAAUACAUAUUUUGGAGGAAAAACAAAAUUUUAAUUUUUCUAUGAAUAGUGUCGUAUACGUGAAUAGUGAUGUAUACGUGAAUAGUAACCCCGACACUAAAAGACAAGAAUUUCACAAGAAAAAUCUUACCAAUAUUCCGGCAUAAUGAUAUUGAAAGAAAUAAUAUCAUUUUUUAAAAAAAAUAAUAUCCCUUACCUUGAAAUAAUAGUACUUCUGACUGGAAUACUAAAUAUAGUGCUGAAGGAAACUUGCACCGUAUAACAACACUCAAAGUAUCAAAAUACUCACAAGAGUACGUUCGAUAAUAUAGAGAGAGAAAAAGAGAGAAAACUUGUGUUUCUGGUGUGAUUUUCAAUUCUAACCUAAACACCCUAUUUAUAGAAAAAUGCUUAGAACACCAAAGCAGAAAAUUUAAUAUAAUAAUAAUAUAAAUUUACCAAAUCUUCCUACGCACACCACCUGCUGAAUUCAACCACUAACACAUGUCCCACAAAUGAAAAAAACGUUUUUCUUAAUUAAAAUAUUUUAAACUUCAAAAAUUAAUUAUUUUGGAACUUCAGAACUUCAAUAAUUCAUAAUAAAUAGCCUUUUUAUCAGAAAAAUUCAAACCUCGUGUCCUUUGCAUAGGAAAUUCCAUUCUCUACAACUUUAUAGAAGAAAGUUUUUCCAAAUUCCAAACAGAAAUUGACCGAAAUCCACAAACGGGCGAUUUUACAGGCUAUAAUCAAAUUUCAGUCAAAAAAUGGGGUCCACCGACACACAAAACAUGUGUUAAUCAUUUAAUGCAACAAAAAUACUCUUUCUCCUCAUAUACUCAUAUAUCCCACAUUCAUUGUAAAAAAAAAUAUCACCAUUAUUAUAUUAUUAAAUAUAAUAAUAUAUUUAAAUGAAUUACUUUAUCAGAAAAAGAUAAAAUAUUAAUUUUCAACAAUUGUCACAUUAAAAAUUUUCUCCAUCUAUAUCCACAUAAAAUCAAUAUUUUCCUCAUCAUAUAAAUCAAUAAUUAAUUAUUCAUAAAUGAAUAUUUUAUAACCACUUGCUUAUUUAAAAUAUUUGCGCAUUUUACCCAUAACUAACCACAUUAAUCAAUUCAACCCUUACUAUUUCAAAAUAAUAAAUAGAGAAAUUCAAUUUCAUUUAUAAUAAGUUGGGGUCUUACAGCCAUCGUAUAUAAAGCUCUCCCCUAUUUGCAUCCAACCCUUACAUGAUAUAGAAGAAAGUAAUAAGAAGAUGGUUAAGGAGAUAGAAGAAUUAAACCUAGAUUAUAUAAUCGGAUAUGGAUUUUCUACAUUUUUCAACUGCACUUCCCAAACCCUAGAUACAUACAUAGAUGCAGAUGGGGAUGGAGUUCUUGCCAUUUAUAGGCCUAACAAAUAAUGGUUUUGACCAAAUUAUUUCCACAGUCUUUCUAUCCUAAUUUCUUACUCCAUUUUAGAUGAUAUAUUUCCAUGUUUUUACAACAACAAAAAAAUACUUAUUUUUGUAUUAUAAGAUCUUAAAAUACAAAAACCUGAUUAUCGAAUUUUAUUAAUUAUAAUAUCCAUUCAUCAACUAGUUUCAAUCUGCUGAAUACCAACGUUCAUAUGGUUCUUUCAAUGUGCAUUUGUAAGCAUAGGCACCCCAUGCUAAGCUUUUUUCAUUACCAACACUAAAGUAUAAUUACAAAAUAUGAAACCAUGAAUCAAAAGUCACUCUUUUCAAAAAAUACUUGUUGUUAACAAGGACAUAAAGAAUCGAAAGAUAAUAAUAAGCAAACGAAAGAAAUGUAAUGGCGUUUAUAGGCGAAAGGAAAUUUCGCAAAGCACCAAACAUCACAAUCAAAUACAAACCAACUUUCAAGCACGAAAUCCAUACUAUGAUACCAUCUUAAAAUUUAAUGUAUAGGGCUAAGGAAUGACAAGGCACCCUACAGAGUACUUGCAAGUUUUUCAGCCAUCGUAUAUAAAGCUCUCCUCUAUUUGCAUCCAGCCCUUGCAUAAUAUAGAAGAAAGUAAUAAAAAGAUGGUUAAGGAGAUAGAAGAACUAAACCUAGAUUAUAUAAACGGAUAUGGCAUUUCUAUGUUUUUUCGGCUGCGCUUCCCAAACCCUAGAUACAUACACACAUAGAUCAUUUUUAAGAUCUUUAAAUACAAAAACCUGAUUAUCAAAUUUUAUUGAUUAUAAUAUACAUUCAUCAUCUAAUUUCAAUCUGCUGAAUACCAACGGCCAUAUGGUUCUUUCAAUGUGCAUUUGUAAGCAUAGGCACCCCAUGCUAAGUUUUUUUCAUUGCCAACACUAAAGUAUAAUUACAAAAUAUGAAACCAUGAAUCAAAAAUCACUCUUUUCAAAAAAUACUUGUUGUAAACAAGGACAUAAAGAAUCGAAAGAUAAUAAUAAGCAAACGAAAGAAAUAUAAUGGCAUUUGGGGGCGAAUUUGUGAAGAAUUGAAAGGGGAUUGUAGGCGAAAGGAAAUUUGGCAAAGCGUCGAACAUCACAAUCCAAUACAAACCAACUUUCAAGCACGAAAUCCGUACUAUGAUACCAUCUUAAAAUUUAAUGUGUAGGACUAAGGAGUGACAAGGCACCCUACAGAGUACUUGCAGGUUUUUCAGAUCCAUCGUAUAUAAAGUUCUCCCCUAUUUGCAUACAGCCCUUACAUAAUAUAGAAGAAAAUAAUAAGAAGAUGGUUAAGCAUAUAGAAUAACUAAACCUAGAUUAUAUAUUUGGAUAUGACUUUUCUACCUUUUUUUAGCUGCACUUCCCAAACCCUAGAUACAUACAUAGAUGCAUAUGGAGAUGGAGUUCUUGCUAUUUAUAUGCCCAGCCAACAAUGGUUUUGACCAAAUUAUUUCCACUGUCUUUCUAUCCUAAUUUUUUACUCCAUUUUAGAUAAUACUAGAUACAAACUCGCUCGUUGCGGCGAGAUUAUUCAAUUUUUUAAUAAUAAAUAUGUACGCAUAAUUAAUAAAUUAUAAUAUAAUAAAAAGAUGGUAGAUUGUUGUGCGAUGAUCAAAUUUUACACAGAAAAACAAAUGAAUAUACAUUGUAUGGGGUAGUGGUGAGAGUUUACCGGUUUGUGCAUUACACUCUAAGUAUGUGACUAUUGCUUUUAAGCUAGUGACAAAGUAAGUGACCUCAACUUGUCGACAAAUCAUUUUUUCUACUUCCAUUUUUCUAUUUUUAUUUCAAUUUUUCUUGACCAAAGUGUAGUCAACUGAUUUAUUUUCUCCGUCCUUUACUACUUUUGUAUUUUGUUUACUGCAAAGAAAAAGUUGCCUCAACUUAACUUUUUACAAUCCAUAUCAUAAAGAGAAUAAAAGAGUAUACGAAGGUUUAAAAAAUCUUUUAAAAAUACAAUUUUUUGUAUGUAUUUCAGAAAAAAAAAUUAAAAAAAACAAUCCCAAUACAAUAGAUUGGUAAAGAAAAUAAGUAUUGUUCUCUUAGUUUUCCAUUUUAUUUAUUUUUCUCAUACUCUAAAUAGUCAAUACCUGUCAAAACAUUAAGUAAUAUUGGAACUUUAUCAUCAUUUCACUGCAAGCAUUUAAAAGGAAAUAAUUAGGCAAAAGCAUGUAAUGACGCCAAGAAAGAAAAAUGUGACAAUAAAACUCUUACCAAAGUAACUAAUAUCCAUUAUCAAUAAGAUAAUCACCAAGGUUUUCAACAACAAUGUUGCAAUGCCCUGGAGUCAUUGGCUCAUCGUAGAUACCAAAAAUCAAGGCAUUGGUGGUAUUAUUAACAGUGAUACCUACAGGACUUUGAAACCAAAGUUUAAAAAGGGUUAAAGGCAACCGUUAAGAGGGUCACCUUUUGAAUGACAUGACAUAGCAACUACUCACGGUCCACUCUUCCUUCCUUUUAUGCUUUUUCAAGAACUACUCAGGAACCACAACAACUCCCUUCAAUUCCAUUUCACCCAUUUUCUACAUAGCAUAGACAAAAAUUAAAUGCUACUAUGAACAUUUGAAACACAAAGAUUAAAGAAAGGGUGAUUCUUUUUUAGCACUGUUCACACGAAUUGUUUAUUAACAAAUGUUCCUACGUACACGUACAUAUUAUACCUACGACUUAGCUUCAUUCACUUUACUAAUCCAGAAACACGUACAUAUUCACGUCAAGGGGGGGGNNNNNNNNNNNNNNNNNNNNNNNNNNNNNNNNNNNNNNNNNNNNNNNNNNNNNNNNNNNNNNNNNNNNNNNNNNNNNNNNNNNNNNNNNNNNNNNNNNNNACGAAACUAUGAGUAAAAGCUCACAAAGGAAAUGGAUUUGAAGCAUCUUAAGCAGUCAUGGUAAUAUCAUCCUUCACAACAUAUAAGUCAUAUACAAAGUCAUCUUUAGAUGCUGCGAUUACAAUAACCAAAACAAAAACAUGAAUAAAAUUAGUGAUAGGCUGUCUUAAGACCAAGAAAAGGGUGGCGAUAGGUCAUAUAUAUUAUAAAAUGAUGCAAAUUCCCAUAUGUGUAAUUAUAGCCCACUCCUUGAAAAGGAAAACAUAAAAACUAUACAUUUUAAGUUUUUAAUCAAUGUAGUUUUUUUAUCGCCCAGCAGGUUGUUUCACGUGGUUACACCAAGCUAAAACAAAUUAUUAGUGAAAGAUUGCUAGACAUAGAAAAUGUGUAUUUAAGAAUAGCAAUUUUUGAUGAUCCCAGACACAGAACAAAAAAAGAAAUGAAAUGAAAUGAAACAUUAUACAGGGAUAUACCUCCUUUGGACAUGUAAUCGUCAAUUUAAGAUUUUAUUUUUGAAGUAGCACUUGGAAUGAACUCUCUUAACAAGGGCAGAAAAGAUGACAUAAUCCUAUGAUCCUCCAAUUAUGAGUCUCUGCAAAAAAUUAUUAAAAAUUGGAUCAUUAUCAGUAAGAAGUUUUAAGUAAAAGUAAUAAUUUAGAUUAUAUCAUUACAUGUACUUACUCCUGCUCUUUCACCUCAUUAGUUAUUUUCACAACAUCAACACGAACAACAUCGUAGAGAUGACACAUCUCUAAACAACUAAUCAAAGUCCGCUCCCUAAAGAAAAAUCUCACAAAAAUCCACAAAAGAGACAAUAAUGUAUACCUUCUUCAAUGAAAAUAUAUGACUAAAAAGGACAAAUAUACAAAAUUGGUUCUGUUUAGAUGUCCCUACCUAGUACCUAGCUAUAUAUUUAACAUCAUUACUCAAGCUAUCAGAGCCAUUUAAAAAUAUCAUAAAGUUCUAUUAGGGAAAAAAAACUAAUAGUAUGUUAAUGUUACAACGUAUUAACGUUUACAUUAAACAAAUCAAAACAUAGGAUCUUGAAAUCAAUUGAUUCAAGCCAAACAGACAUACCAGUACAGACGUGGAGCACUCUGCAGAAGGAUUUCACCCCCAGAGACUACCCAAUAGAAGCCGACCAUCCACCAGAUAAAUGAUACCAUUGUAUUCACAUAUUCACAUUUCUUAGCAAAACUGAAAUGUCCACAAAGUCGGAAUCAGUAGAAAAAAAAUAGUUUUGCACCACAUCCAAACUUAGCACACACUUACUGCAUCCUCAGGUAUAACAAUACGUUCACUAGCUAAGUUCCCACUGCUUAUUGCAAUGGGAACCAUUCUACCAGCUCCAAUUGUAGGCUUAUCUUCAUCAGUACAGAUUUGAAAUCUAUACUUUGGAAGGAUACUGAUAUGAGCAUCUGAUGCACCUUCCUAUAUAUUCACAUAAGAAUUAACGUCAGAAAAUACUGAAACAGCGCACAAUAAACUCAAGAUCAUCAUAUCUUACCUGCCCGAAAAUAACAUAAAGAAUUGCAACGAUGCACGGAAAGCAGCAACAAAGAGCAAUCCAAAUCAAAGAAGCCAAAACAACAUAAAAGAUGGCAAAGAACACAUCGAAUGCUAGAAAUACCACUAUCAACCUGCAGAAAUUUAACAUAAGUGUUUUUGUCAAUAAUUAACAGUUGUUUGCAUUCAUUUUAAAAUAUAUUAAUUUAACUACAACAAGAAAGGGCACAAGAGUGUGAAUAUAGAUAGGCAUAAUUUACAGAUUUACUGAAGUGAAAAGGAUAUUAAACUUGCCUUUUGCUUCUUUAAAAACGGAUUGCUUAUUAUUACAAUGGACUUAUUGCUUAUUAUUACGCCUAGAGAGUAUAGGUCUUAUUUUGUCCCCAACAUUCCAGUUUGUUGGUACUCUGGGUCAAUGUAAUAAAAUGUUCCAGCUGCGGCUGCCAUGUGAUAUUGGGUAACGCUGUCAGCCACAGAUGGUGGAACCAUCCUGGCCAAGCCAACAUCUCUUAUCUUGCUUAUAUAGUUUCCACUUAAGAGAAUGUUGGCAGGUUUUAGGUCACAAUGCACCAGUGGCUCUGGCUUUGACUGGUGAAGGAAAUGAAGGGCAGUGCCAAUUUCGGCAGCUAUUUUGAAAUAGGUUUUCCAAGAGAGUGGGGGAGUGUUGUUUUUUUCAAAAUAGACGAUAUUUUAAGCUGCCAUUUUCCAUGUAGUCAUAUACAAGGCAGACGUACUCAGGGCAGUCACCUAAAAGGAGAACCAUGUGAGGAUGUCUCAUGCAGCUUAAUACGUCGAUCUGCAUUAGAAAAGAGAACAUUAGAUGGGAAUUUAGAAAUACAAAAUUGAUAUCCUUUUUUAUUCGUGCAACCAUCACAUGUGCUCGUAAGUUCCAUUAUAUAUAUUCGGUUGUGGACAUGAGCAUUGACUUUGUUCUUUCUUCUCAAUAUUCACUUAGUUUGCUAUAUAAAUCAAGGCACAAGAAUCUGUUGCACUGGGAAGCUAGAUCCUAUAGUGGUCGUGAAGGUUUGCUACUGAGGUGUAAGGUGGAUAGAUCAACUAAUUUUGGAACUUUGGGUUUUUUGACAAAUAAAAUUUGAAUGCCAUGAAAACUAAGCUGGCUUUACCCCCAAUACUGAAAGUAAGUGAUGGUCAGUGAAUAGUGUGUUCAACACCAAGUCAAAGUGAGUUUGAUGGGGUUAUUCUCUGUGAUCAUCUUGAUGGAUCUUUACUAUCGCAAUGAAAACUACAUAGACUUCAGGUCAUAAGGAUUGGUUACACUUUUAGCUUUUCCAAUUACACCAUGAAGAAAUUAUUAUCUUUCGAAAAUAAUACUGAUAAUUAACAACUGCUAAAGCCAGAGGAUCUGGUAUCUUGGAUAGAUGAUGGUGAUAUUUGGUUGUGAAGUUUAAAGUAACAGCAGACAUUGUUCAUUUGUGAUAUGGCUGAAUUAUCUAGACAUACAAUUUUUCCUCAAGUCUAAUACACAAUACAACCUUUAUAACUAAUGACAGAGUCAUCGAUUUAUAUGAAGAGAGAGUCAUCUUAAUUUAACUGGAACUUGGAUUUUUCUAUCAAGUACAUGAUCAAGUUCUAAUGUGGUGCUAACAAGAUAUUAAAAACAAAGAAAGAAAUAGAUCGAAGCCAAUUUUAAAUCUGAACAAUAUUUUAAUAUGGAGUAUUUGCUUAUUGUGGGAGUAGCCUCAUUAAUUGGUGAACCCCCAACCAUGCUCAAUGAUAACAGUAGGCUCAAUGAACUUUAAAUCCAUUCUAUUUGCUCUACUACGCUUAUUAGAAACAACUGAGGCCCAAUUUCCAUUUAAAUUUAGUUUCAUAUCAUAAGAUUAUUCUUUUAAAAAAAAUAUUAGAUAUAGAUAUAUAAUAAAUAAGAGAAGAAAAAGGAAAUUUCAUGUUGUCAAGAAAACAAAAGUAAUUACUUCAAUGCACUUCAAUUCCUCUUACAUUGGCAGAAGGGGUCACUCUAAAGAUCUUAACAACAUAAUUCAUGUGUUUCUUUCACCGUUUCUUUGUCAAAAGUACAAGAUCAAAUGGGCCGCCAAAACAUAUUUUAUAAUCAGUAAAGUAAAGUACAAUCCAAGGUGUGGGAAAAGACGCAGAUAUUCCCAGCAGCCUAGUGCUAUCUAGCAGACGAAUUUGUAAGUUCAGGAAAAUCAGCCAUAAAUUCCUCAUUAAAAUAUGUUUUCAUACCCUCAUUUUCCAAUUUAUCCAAAUAAUUUCACAAAUCAUGAUACAAUCAAAAUAAAAAUAAGUCUUACAGAUCGAAUGCUCUGAUUCUUCUUCGUCGUGGUCUGCUUCUUCUUUAGGUCUGAUUCAGAUUCUUCUUUGUCGUGACCUGCUUCUUCUUCGCCGUGGUGUGCUUACAGAUCGAAUCUUUGCCGUGGUGUGCUUUUUCUUUGGGUCUGAUUCAAGAUGUUCAGCCUUUGGGUAUGAUUGUUCUUCGUCGUGGCAUGCUUCUUCUUCGCUGUCUCUAGGGAAUUUGAACGAAUUAGGAUGUUCAUCCUUUGGACUGCUUAUUCUUCGCCGUUUGAACGAAUUUUAAACAUAAAGUUACUUGUCAUUGAAUUUUAGUUGCCAUUUUUGAAUUUUGAAUAUAUUAUCCCAGAUUUAGUGGGAUUUGAGAAAUGAAUUUAGUUUUUUUUAGUGUUUCAUAUGUUUUUGUAAAAGGUAGUUAAGACUAAAAUAAAGUAAUCAAUAUAUGACUACCAUCACUAUUUUAGCUACUAAACUUCCUUACACUCGAGUGUGUGUACAUAUCGAAUUGUUUCAUAUUGCUCUGAUAAUUAAAUAAAAUAUCAUUUGGAAUCAGAAUACUUUAAUAAUACACCCCGAGUCUAGACCACUGGUUUGUUCAAUAUAGUAACCAUUUCUAUGUAAAAACAACUUUCCAACCUUCCUAACCAUUUUCCAGAUUAGUGUAUAUGUAAAACCACAUGAAUCAAGAUACCAUCUUGAUUCCCAUUAUAGGAUGUGAUACUUUCAGUCACAAAACCAGGACAAAGUCAAAUUGUUGGAACCAGAAAACCUCAAAAGGAAAAGUAUAUGGAAAACUCCAAUUGAGAUCAUCUGAUGUUAAAACCCAAAUUGCACGUAUACAUGCACUUUCAUUCCUUCUCUUCACUCUCAUUUCGACUGUUACUCUCGAAUUUUGAAUGUAAGCAUUCUUCGAUCAAGAUCAAAGACGAUCCACCAUUAGCAUUGUGUGAUCUUGAGCACAAAUAAGUAAAUUAUCCUAGGACUGAUAUUGGACUAAAGUUAUAAAACGUAAAAAUAAAUAAAUAGCUUGGAGCUUCUUAAACAAUGACUCGGCAUUUAUUAACGUGGCAUUGUAGUGGGUGAAUCCUUCUACCGUUAAUUACAGAACACAUGCUUAUGAAACAGACUAUGGAAAUGUAUUUAAGGGUGUAAAAAUGAUAGAACAAUAAUGGAAUUUAAUCUUGUUUAUAACCAAAAAUUUCUGGUACCACCUUACUAUAUCGUAAUUAAAAAAAAUUGAUUCCAAAUAUUGAGCAACACAAAAUCGAAAGCCCACUGCCUACAUACUGAAUACUGAUGCAGAUGUUUCCUUAGCUGGAGCACAUGACUAUUAGCAAAAAGAAGAAAAAAUAAAUUUGACCAACCUCAUGCACUUUAAGGAGUUCCAGAAUUGCCAACACUAUGUCAUUCACAUAGCAGAAACCAGAAGCCUCACAUUUCUUUGCAUGAUGAAGUCCACCAGCCCAGUUUAUAGCAAUAUCACAAGAUCCAUGGUUUAAUUUCAGUGCGCCACCAACUGAGCCCCCAGCAUAAGUCUAACAGAAAGAAUAGAGACCAUCAAACACAGGGCAUUAUUCACCAACAUUAAAGUCUACCCUUCCUUCAGCAAAUUUGUCCUGCUUUAGAACUUCCAUGCUAGGUACUAUAUAUCCUUUUGGUAGAACACCAAGCAAGUAGCCAACUAAAAAGUGACCUGCUUCAUAUUGUAGAAUAUUAACUUCAGUUCUUACACAGUUAAAUUAUAUUAUGAUGAAGGACUUUAUGAUGCAAAGAAUGCUGAACUCAGUACCAGUGGAAGCACCAUCACAAAAUAUAACCAAAGAGAAAGUUGAAUCUCCAAAACUCAGAAACAAAUAACUCUUCAAACUAAUAACCAACCUAUACUUAAAUAAAGAAUCUCUUCCCCCAUUGGAUAUAUUUAAAUACGAACCGGAUAAAUAAGAUGGUCAUUGAAUGGGAAUUUUAAAAGUUUCAAUCUUUUGAAAAAUACCUCCAAAAAAUUUGGUUUGUUGACGUCCAAAUGAUCUUGAAUUUAAGUUUAACCGAAAAAAAAGGUGAAGUCAAUGAGAAACACAAAAUAUGAAAUCAUGACCACAAAUUAAAAGGUUAUAUAUCAUUUAUAAGUUUAAAAGAGAUAUUUCUUCCGAUCGAAAAUCAACCAGAGUUAAGAAAUAAAAAUUGUCCUCAAUUAGCCACAGUUAUCCACAAUUUUUUCAUAACUAUCCAGAUUGAUUUCUAAGACAACGAAGAAAAGAAAUUAAAAAAUUCACAUAAACUGAGAUCCGAAGAAGAUGAACGUUGAACAACAAAAUCGAAGAAACCAUGAAAUCAGCAAACAAAGCCCUAGAUAACGAUCUCGACCAGUAAUGAUCACAAACACGCACUCAAUUUCAAAAUGAAAACUUACUUGAAAAUCAUUUCUCAAUCCGAACAACAGCUCUUCAGCAGUAUAAAAUCGCUACUUUUGCUCGUCGUGGUUCCUGGGGUUUGUUCAUAAUUUGGGGCUGACGAAUUUGAACCAACACGGAAUGAAUUUUUUAGUUUCUACAUUUGAACCAACACAGAAUGAUAUAGCAAACAAAGCCCUAUAUCACGAUCUCGAUCACGCACUCAAUUUCAAAAGGAAAACUUACUUGAAAAUCGGUACUCAAUCCGAACAACAGCUCUUCAACUAAUAAAAUCUCUAGAGGAUUGUUGUUUCAUCACAAAUCGAUACUUUUUGCUCGCCGUGGUAUACUUCUUCGGAUUCAUCAUUUGGGGCUAAUUAUUCUUCGUCAUUUGAACGAAUUUGAACGCCAAAAUUGAAAAUAGGAUAGGAUUCCAGUUGUUAUUCGAACGAAUUUGAACGCCAAAGUUGAAGAUAGGAUUCCAGAUGUUAUUUUAUAGGGGCACUGUUGUGAAGGGUAUUUUGGAAAAGGAUAUUUAGGAGCAUUAAUAAGGAUGGACAUGUGUUGAGUUUUUAGGAUGACAUAUGUCAAUCUAUUGUGUCAUGUACUGCGAUUUAGUAUACAUAGAUAUUCCAAUGUUUUUGCAACAAAAAAAUACUUAUUUUUGUAAUUUAAGAUCUUAAAAUACAAAAACCUGAUUACCGAAUUUUAUUGAUUAUAAUAUCCAUUAAUCAACUAGUUUCAAUAUGUUGAAUACCAACGGCCAUAUGAUUCUUUCAAUGUGCAUUUGUAAGCAUAGGCACCCCAUGCUAAGCUUUUUUCAUUGCCAACACUAAAGUAUAAUUACAAAAUAUGAAACCAUGAAUCAAAAAUCACUCUUUUUAAAAAAUACUUUUUGUAAACAAUGACAUAAAGAAUCGAAAGAUAAUAAUAAGCAAACGAAAGAAAUGUAAUGGCAUUUGAAGGCAGUUUGUGACGAAUUGAAAGGGGAUUGUAGGCGAAAGGAAAUUUGGCAAAGCGUCGAGCAUCACAAUCAGAUACAAACCAACUUUCAAGCACGAAAUCCGUAAUAUGAUACCAUCUUAAAAUUUAAUGUAUAGGGAUAAGGAAUGACAAGGCACCUUACAGAUUACCUGCAGGUUUUUCAGAGCCAUCGUAUAUAAAGCUCUCCCCUAUUUGCAUCCAGCCCUAACAUGAUAUAGAAGAAAGUAAUAAGAAGAUGGUUAAGGAGAUAGAAGAACUAAACAUAGAUUAUAUAAUCAGAUAUGGCUUUUCUACGUUUUUUCAGCUUCAUUUCUCAAACCCUAGAUACAUACAUAGAUGAAGAUGGAGUUCAUGCCAUUUAUAGGCCCAACAAACAAUGGUUUUGACCAAAUCAUUUCCACCGUCUUUCUAUCCUAAUUUCUUACUCCAUUUUAGAUAAUAUAUUCCCCUGUUAUUGCAACAACAAAAAAAAACACUUAUUUUUGUAUUUUAAGAUCUUAAAAUACAGAAACCUGAUUACCGAAUUUUAUUGAUUAUAAUAUCCAUUCAACAACUAGUUUCAAUCUGUUGAAUACCAACGGCCAUAUGGUUCUUUCAAUGUGCAUUUGUAAGCAUAGGCACCCCAUGCUAAGCUUUUUUCAUUACCAACACUAAAGUAUAAUUAUAAAAUAUGAAACCAUGAAUCAAAAAUCACUCUUUUCAAAAAAUACUUGUUGUAAACAAGGACAUAAAGAAUCGAAAGAUUAUAACCAAACGAAAGAAAUGUAAUUGCGUUUGGAGGCGAAUUUGUGACGAAUUGAAAGGGGAUUGUAGGCGAAAGGAAAUUUGGCAAAGUGCCAAACAUCACAAUCAAAUACAAACCAACUUUCAAGCAUGAAAUCUGUACUAUGCUACCAUCUUAAAAUUUAAUGUAUAGGGCUAAAGGAAUGACAAGGCACCCUACAAAGUACCUGCAAGUUUUUCAGAGCCAUCGUAUAUAAAGCUCUCCUCUAUUUGCAUCCAGCCCUUACAUGGUAUAGAAGAAAGUAAUAAGAAAAUGGUUAAGAAGAUAGAAGAACUAAACCUAGAUUAUAUAAUCGAAUAUGGCUUUUCUACGUUUUUUCGGCUGCGCUUCCCAAACCCUAGAUACAUUCAUAAAUGCAGAUGGAGAUGGAGUUCUUUCCAUUUAUAGGCCUAGCAAACAAUUGUUUUGACCAAAUUAUUUCCACCAUCUUUCUAUCCUAAUUUCUUAUUCCAUUUUAGAUGAUAUACUAGAUACAAACUCGCGCGUUGCGGCGGGAUUAUUCAAUUUUUUAAUAAUAAAUGUGUACAUACAAUUAAUAAAUUAAAAUAUACUAAAAAGAGUAAAUUAUUGUGUGAUGAUCAAAUUUUACACAGAAAAACAAAUAAAUAUACAUUGUAGGGGGUAGUGGUGAGAGUUUACCUGUCUGUGCAUUACACUAUAAGUAUGUGACUAUUAUUUUUAGGCUAGUGGCAAAGUAAGUGACCUCAACUUGUGGACAAAUCAUUUUUUCUACUCUUCCCUUUUAUUAUUUUUUUUAGUUUUUCUUGACCAAAGUGUAGCCAACUGAUUUAUUUUCCACGUCCUUAACUAAAUUUGUAAUUUGUUUACUGUAAAAAAAGGGUUACCUCAACCUAACUUUUUAUAAUCCAUAACAAAAAGAGAAUAAAAGGGUAUGCCAAGGUUUAAAAAAUCUCUUAACAAUACAAUUAGAAAGCCAAUGUUCAAACUAUUUAGCCCAAGCGUAUAGCAAAAUAUCUGGGCAAACUACAAGCUUAGAACCUUCAUUCAAGAAACAGCCUUCAAUUGCAAUGGCUUGAAAACAAAGUCAUUGUUCAAAUUAGCAGUGUCACAUUGUGAGGUGAUUUUGAGUAAUGUGUGUAUGAAACGCAGUACAUGGCACAAUAGCUUGAAAAUAUCUACCUCUAACCAUUCCCUUGUAAAUAAUGCAGUAAACAUCAAGCUCAUAACUAUUCAAAAUGUCAAAAAAACUAACUAUCUAAUAGUUGGCCUAAUGUAAGCAUGUGAAAUGAACUUUUAGUGGUUUCCUUUCCUUGGUUAGCUGCACAGAAACUUGCAAAUAACAAUAAGCUUGCUCCUAACAUGAAUAAAGCAUAACACAACAUAUUAGGUGACAAUGUAGCUACUACUUUUAGCAACAGAUGUCCAAAUAUUAGCAUAGUCUAAAUACCUAUGCUACUUAAUAAGAACAUUUAGUAGAAAUACUUAAUCCAUGAUCAUUUACUAUAUUAAAACUACUUCCCAGAUUGUAUACCCAAUAACACAUGUGUGAGACAUUUGAGAAGGUGAGGAUUCCAAAUCACAGAGCACACUAAUUAGACAAAAGAAGAACCAAAAAAAUUAAAAUUUUAAGUGAUGAGGUCACAAAGAAGAAAGUAGAGGACAAACUUUUCUAAAUGUCAUUUUUAAAAUUCAACAGGUGGAGUGACAUGGAUGGAUUCCUUCGACAAUUCUUCAACAAUGUAUAUGAAAAUAAGAUGCAUGCUAAUGAAAACAACUACUGCAAGUACAACAACCCAGGGCUAUCAACAUUUAUCUUUGAUAGCUCAAAGUUGCGAUUAGAAAAUAAAAAAACAAUUUUAAGAUAAUCAAAACAUAUUUAACAAACUCUGCUAUUCAAAUUAACUUCAACUAAAACCAAUAAAAUCAAAUAUUUCAAAACCGAUUAUUAAGAAGCAUAAAAACUAUUUCCCCCCAAUUCCUAAACAAUAUACCAAAUUAAUCUAUAAAAAUAAAGCAACAAAAAUGCAAAAGAAUGAGUCAAAAGUUAAUACCUCAGGGGCGAGAUACUCAAGGACGGAGGAUAGAUAGACAGUAGCUCUGACACCAUAAUAUGUGCUCUAUUUGUCACUCGAUAAAUAUUAUAAUUAUGGUGGGGCAGAUGAUCAAGAAUUAGAUAUGAUCCUGCCACACAAAAUGGUAGUAGAAUUGAUGACUUCAACCAAAGAACACUGCAAGGGCAUUCAAAACAUUAAUUAGUCAAGAAUAUGGUAUGUUUCAACUCAUAACAUUGAGUACACAACAGCUUAUACUAAAACCCUAAGAAGAAAUUAAAUGUUUAAUUGGUUUUCAAGUAAUAGAAUGAAUCAAUUGAUGGCCUGAAUACACCACGAAAUAAAAGUAGAAAGAGCACAACAUCACCUUCACAGCUGGGGAACCAAUUAAACAUUUAAUUUCUGAAUACCAGAUAGUAAAGGUUUUGAAUGGAACACCAUAGAAGCCCAUUCCCAAUGCUUUAACGUAUGCCUCCUGGAAGUGUUUUUCCUUUUCAAGGUUAAAGAAAAGCUAAAAGCAUAAAGGAUGAUUUACAUAUAUCAACCAUGAAAGUUAUGCAUAACAGCAUAACCUAAUAACUUACUUUUUAAUUCAUUAAUAUAUAAAUAUAUCUAGCUACCUUUUGAUCUCUCUCUCACACACAGAGAGAGACAUAUAUAUCCAAAAUAGUGCCCCAGCAUACAAGAAUCAUGCUCCAAAAUGGUGGGAAUGAAUUAUGAAACAUAAUUUUAAAAGGAAAAAAGGGCAUGAGAGUAUAAGAUUUUUCUCAUGCAGGAUGAUAAAAGUAAAUAAUAUCUUAAAUAUCCCUUUCAUCUCAUAAAUAUGGAAAAAAACUCCUUUUUCUCAAAUAUCUUUCACUUCUUUACUAGUAUAUUUGUAGUGAACGUGUUUUUACUUAAAAUAAGGAAAAAAAACAACUGAAUAUUGGAAUUGAUUGCCCUUAAUCUCAGAGGGUGUUUUCCAGAUCAAGCUUCAAUUAAUCUAAGUUAGCAUAUAAAAUAAGUUGAUCUUCAAUAUUUUGGAUUGUUUCUCGAUUUGUGAGUGUUGACUCCUUGCGCACGUUCAAAUUUUAUCAGGCAUCCCCUAAGGGCCAAAACAUACGAUACCAACAAUUGAACCAAAAAUGCUAGACUUCUAUUCUUUUUUUCUUUUUCUUUUUGAAAUAAUAAGUCCAUGCUUUGAUGGUGAAUAACAUAGCCAAACAAAACAUGGUGAAUUACUCUGGAAAUCUAGCUGACCUUGAGUGUCCAUAAUUUUAUAAACUCCUGGCGCUGAAGUUCUUGGUCUAAAAUAGAAUUUAAUAGUUGCACCUCUUGUCGGGAAAUGUAUCUCGAAGCGAACUAUGAGAUAUUGUGUAUUAACUUUCGUUGCCUUUCUUCUACAUCAAUGCCAAUCUAUAUUCAGAAAGGUAACUAUAAUCAGUUCAAACUCAAUUAAGUAAAAAUAGCAGCACCAAAAUAAUAAAUGUCAAUUAUUUAAGAGAUUAGCUAUAAAUACAUAUAUUAGAUGUACAAAUAAGAAUGAUGAAGUCACUAACUGGAUAAUCCAUUGUCACUCCACAUGCUACCAAAGAUGCUUUGUGAAAUGUUGAAAUACAAUUGUGGUGGGUACCAAUCAUUGCUCUGUAGCCACUCUACCUAUCAACAUAUUUCAGAAAAAGUUUAAAGUGCAUACCACUGAGAAACAUGGCAAUGAAAAGAGCUAAGGUACAAUUUAAAGCAAACCAGCCUCAGUUUCCCAUGGAUGUUCUUCCUGAACUUCAAAGACCUUGGAAUAACUUGAUUUAUUUGAUCUAGUAAUAAAUGAUAUUGUUAAAGGCUUUAAUCUAUCAAAUAUCUUUUCAUAAAUUAAUGACAGACCAAUAAUAAUAAUAAAAAAAGACAUAAAAUAUUUAUGUUGGAAUGCUUCAGCAAAUUAUGAUCGUUCGCUUGUCAAUGAAGUACAAAGAAUAUACAGUCUCACAUCAUUAAUAGCAACAUGCCAUUUAUAACGGGCCUGACUUCCAAUCUCCAGUAGGUAUAAUUACCAGACAUGCUGACCUCAGAGGCUCAGACAGGAACAAAAUCCUAAAAUGUUUAUAAUCACAUUGAUGCUAUUUGGCAAAUUCUUGGAUUUCUUAAAAAAUUAAAAUUUUACGUCAAAAUGUUACUAUACUCAAUCAUAUAGAGUUUUCAAGAUCUCAAAAAAAAACUAGGAGUCUCUGUGUGCUUACUGUACCAGCAUAUAUGUUAAUAUGUAUAUUUUGGGAGUGUCACAAUCAUUUGACGAACAUUAUAUACUGAAGUAGUGGCUAACAUCUUUAAAAAAAUUUGUGUUUACAUUUACAAAAAUUAGGGAAAUUCCCCAUUAAGCUGACAGUACUCACACAUUAACACAUGUAUGAAGGUGGUGCACCUUAUGUGUCUUUGAUACAACACUACCUCACAGGCUUCAGUUUUAUAUUAUUCUUCAAGCAAAGAAAACAACAUAUUAUGAAUACAGAUAAUGAGAAGAACAGGAGAUUUAAGGUGAAAGAAGAAAAGGUGUAACAUGUGACGCCCCCAAAAUAGGUCCACACGACCCAUUCUGAGUCGCCAGAUAUCGUACUAUAAAAAUCAAAUACAAACUUCAUUUAUACAACUGUUGAACUGUCGUGCAGAGUACGACAACAGAUAAGCUGUGAGUUUUAAUACAAAUGUAUGUAACUCUCAUGGUGCCUCGACCACAACCUUACAAUGGUACUUUACAUAAAAUUACAGUCAAAAAUUGUUUUAGAAAUUAAAAUCUUAGAGAAGUGCUCAAGGAAACCUUCGUACAUGGGAGGCCAUGCGUCUAGGUUAUGAUAGAUAUCAUACUUCCACGGAAUUAUCCUUGGUUGACCCAAAAGUCCCCAAAGAAAAAUAAGAAGAUUACUAGCAUCUUCUUUCCAAUGGUGAGUCUUCUCUUGACAUAUAAUUAUCUUUGUUGUCUCCAAGUGAAAAUUAUAUUUCAAAUAUACUCCAAGAUCAUAUAGGUAGUGCUCGUAGAUAUACUCAGCAAGUGGAUGCGCACAACCAUGUCUUAUGAUAACACGAGGUUGUAUGUCAUUAGACAUCUUGUAUGAUAGUGGCAAAACACCCUUCCAAAGUUGGGUUCACCUCACCCUAUUCGGUUCACCAAAAUUAAAUAUCAAAUGACGUAUACAAUACGACAAACUUAUCUAAAGUUUUGAACAAAUUAUUUCCAUACUAUUUAGGGAGAACCUCAACAGCUAUAGACCACCGUUCUAAUCCUCUUAAUACCCCGCUCGACUCAGCUACACUUUUAUUACCUGAAAGGAAUUGUGAAGCAAAAGAAUGAGCACAACUAGCCCAGUAAAGAAUAUCAUGACUAAAGAUAAUUAAAUUAUCAAUAGCUUUCAUCAAUAAUAAAUCAGAGAUUUAGAAAAUAUGGUAGAUAAUAAAACUUUUUAACCAUAGUUGCAGCGGAAUGAGAAAUCCAUUAGAAGAGUCAAAUAGACCAUAAGGUCUAUUAUCUUCUCUAUGUUAAAAGUCCACCAAUAAUGUUUUAUCCCUGUAACAUCAAUCAACAAUUCCCGUCCACGAUCAUGUGAAUAACUCAUAAUCACAAUUGUGAUUCUAAAUUCCUCUUCGCACACAAGACGAAGAUAAUUUCCAUCACCUGUCUUUACCUGAACCACCACAGAUUAUAAUUAAAUCACAAUUCAUAUUUAUAAUCAAGUAAAUCAACAAUCCAACUUUGCACUACAUGCCAAAGAUAUACAACUGUAAAACCAAUAACCAAUAGUUCAUCUUUGCACUACAGGCCAAAGAUAUACAACUGUAAAACCAAUAACCAACAGUCCAUCUUUGCACUACAGGCCAAAGAUAUACAACUUUAAAACCAAUAAUCAACAGUCCAUCUUUACACUACAGGCCAAAGAUAUACAACUAUAAAACCAAUAAUGCUGAGACUCAGCUUAAUAGUAUCACGACCACGAAUUAUCCAUGCACUACGAACCAAAGAUAUUCGUGUUUUCAAUUACGAUCAUGAUUAUACCAAAUAAUCCCUGGUCAUAAUCAUACCAAGUCCAUCUAUGCACUACGGGACAAAGAUGACUUUUACCACAUCAUUUAUAACAUUACGGUCAUGAUUAUACCGAAUAAUCCCUGGUCAUAAUCAUACCAAGUCCAUCUAUGCACGUAAGCCACAGAUGACUUUCAACACAAUAUAAGCAUGAGGAUCAUGACAAUGAUAUAAAGAAUCAAUCAAAUGAGAUAAAGGAUAAAUAUUAAACAUUUAUAAUAUAAUUUAUCCAGGGUUCAAGAAUAUCCCAAUGUUAUCAAUCACUUAAUAAUCUCAUAAUCUAAUAUCAUUAAUAUUAUAACAAUAUUUUAAUCAUUUCUUAAACUUAUAAACAAUUUAUUUUAAUUGUUUACACUUUACCAAAUAAUGCAUUUAAUCAUCCUAAAAUGCCAAACUCAUAAGAUUUCAUCAUCAAUAACCAAAACCCUUAACAAAGAUCUGCAUAUACCUUAUAUAGGAUUCCCAAGCCAUAAAAUUCUAUUUUCCAAUUUUGCUACUUUACAUAACAUAUUUAAUUCAUUUACUUAUAACUAGUCCAUUUUCAUGAAAAAUACCAAAUCAGUUCCAAAACUAUUUCUUUUCUGGGAUUUAGCAGAAUAUAGUCUCAUAUUAAUUAUAUAUUUUUCUCGGAAUUUUUAAAAUUCAUUUACUAUUUUUCACAUGGCCAAAACCGCCGAAUAUGUAGACAUUUUUUAUAAACUGUACUUCUGCCCAAAAAUUCCAAAAUUUACACGGUAUACUCCUGUUAUAUACAUGUACUCCCAAUAAAAAUUUCACCAAUUUUGGAGUUAACCACAAGGAGUUAUAAGGGUUUACUUUUAAAAUAGUCUUUUCCCGUAAAAUUCAUAACUCUUAAUUUAUACAUCCAAAAAUCUCCAUUUUUGGACACAAUAUAGAAAACUCAUCAAAUUAUCAUUUCAAAUUUUUUCAGAAUUUUUGAGGGUCAGAAAAAUUACGAAAACUGCAAAUGGAUUUUUGCCCGCCAUGCGGUAAUCCACGUAGACAGAUUAUUUUAACAGAAUAAUAAAGAAUGGAAUAACAGAAGAAUUCACCAUGCAUGUGAUAGACCGCACAGACAGGUUAUUUCCAACAGAAUAAUAAAAAAAUAGAACCAGGUCAUGCGUAAUUCGCACAGACAGGAUGUUCCAACAGAAUAAUAAAGAACGGAACCAGGUCAUGUGUAAAUCGCACAGACAGGAUGUUCCAACAAAAUAAUAAAGAACGGAACCUGGUCAUCCGUAAAUGCACAGACAUGAUGUUCCAACAAAAUAAUAAAGAAUGGAAUAACAACAGAAUUCACCGGGCAUGCGAUAGACCGCACAGACAGGUUAUUCCAACAUAAUAAUAAAUAAUGGAAUAACAGAAGAAUUUCACCAUGUAUGCGGUACUUCACAUAGACAGGUUAUUCCAUAAUAAUAAAGAAAGGAAUAACAACCCUUACGAGUAUUGAAAGAAAAUAACUCUCUUCAUGAAUAUGAAAGAAUAAUACCCCUUACGAGUACAACAAAUAAUAUCCCUUACAAGUACAACAAAUAAUAUCCCUUACAAGUACAACAAAUAAUAUCUCUUACCUUAAAAGAAAUUGGAUAUAGGAGUAAUGAAGUAGCAGAAUACUUUUCUUCUUUCUCUCUAUAAUUUCUCUCUCUAGAGUUUUAGUGAAUUCGUAAGAAAUAAUGAAGGAAUGAGCUUCUAUUUAUAGGAGAAUGGGCUGAAUAGUAACUAAUUCACAAACGGUCCAGAUUGAUUUACUUUUAAACGGACGGUCCAUAUUGAUUUACUAUGUAGUAUUAAUAAAAUAUUCUAAUAAAACAAAAUCUUUUAAAUAAAAUAUAAUAUAUUCUAUUUAUANNNNNNNNNNNNNNNNNNNNNNNNNNNNNNNNNNNNNNNNNNNNNNNNNNNNNNNNNNNNNNNNNNNNNNNNNNNNNNNNNNNNNNNNNNNNNNNNNNNNCAAUUAGGUGACCAAACCUCUCCUUGACAGAACUUCUAGACAUCGUUAAUAUUGCAAAUAAUAAUAUUAAUAACUUUUUUAUCUCAAUUAUUAAUUUAAUAAUAUAAAAAAUAUCGACAAUAAUUGAAUCAAAUAACGUGAGAUACUAUGCAACAAUUACUGUAGCAAUAAUUGAACAAAACUGAGUGAUUUCUCACGUAAGCAUCAAUAAUCAAUACUGUGUGCUACUAUGCAACCACGCAUAUUACUGUACUUUUACUACCGAGUAGUUCAACAGUUUUAACAGUAAAACUUCCGCCGUUAUUUUCAUAAAAAAUAUUUUUGUCAUUUUCUCAAUUCGACAAUAAUUCCGUUGUGGGGUCCACCAAUGAUUGUACCAUCGUACGGAUAUUCCCCGACUAAUCGAAUAUUUCCCGACACAACGAAUAUUUUAUAUCAACUUGCUUACUUUGCAAAAUUUUCACAUAUUACCCUUAACUUUAAACUUUUAUCGAUUUAACUAUUUACCAAAAUAAAAAAAUUGAAUACUUUUAUUUCAUAAAAUUCGGGGUCUCACAUAACAGCCCUGCAGUCAACCUGUUAUUUUCGUUAAUUAGUGCUCUGAAUAUGAACACACAAAUAUACACUUGGAGAUUAUCACAUAAUCCAACAUGCCAAAUAAAUACGUGUAUCAUCAUUUCACUGCAAGCAUUAAAAAGCAAAUAAUUAGGCAAAAGCAUGUAAUGACGCCAAGAAAUAAAAAUGUGACAAUAAAACUCUUACCAACGUAACUAAUAUCCAUUACCAAUAAGAUAAUCAUUAAGCUUUUCAACAACAAUGUUGCAUUGCCCUAAAGUAAGCCAAGAAAAAGAAAAGAUUAAAGGAAAUAUGGCUUAAUAUAAAGCUUAAUGGUCAGCAAAUAUUCUUAGCAAUUGUGUGAAAUUUCCUUUUUCUUUAAAUUUUACCAAAAGGAUUACUCUCUACAUCUGAAUUUUAAUUACAUUAUUUCUAGCAGUUAUGUGGACUUGAUCAUUAUUACUAUGUAUUGUCUACAACGUGGGACUGAAUCGUGGGACUGAAAUUAGCCAAUUUGACAAUGCCAUAGAAUUCAAAGCCCAAACCUAACUUUGCAUGUAAAUUCUACACAGAAACUGCACAGCCAGGAAUCAGACGUAGUAAUUCAAGACGGAUCAAAUUAAAUACGACAAAAAUCAAAAACUUAAAAAGUGCAAGUAAAUUGCACUCGUCUCUUCUUGAGCUGAUUGUUGCUACUGUAGCAAAAACCAUGGAUUUAACAAUUUCUAUAAAAUAUUUGUUUCUGACACUUGUGCACAUUGAGAAAAUGCAGGAAGCAAUUCCAUGGAAAAAGUGCAAUAAAAUUGCACCAUAUAUUUAUUCAAUGUUUUCAAGUUAUAAUUAAGGCAUAAGAUAAGUUAUAACAGAAAUAGUGGUCAAUUUAAGAUAUGAUUUAAACAGCAGUACUUCAUUAACAGCAUCAAAGUAAAUUCCGUAUACAUAAUUAUAAAGCUACAAAAUCCCAACAACUGUAUGUUAAUAAAUUCAACAUGGAAAAUUAAGGUGACUAACAAUAUAUUCUUUAUCCAAAAAAUACUUGGUUCCAAGGUCCAUCCAAAUAUAAUAAAGAAGUCCCAAUUCGAAGCCCUGACAAAUGCAGCAGGUAGUUGCACUUAUAGAUAACCAACACCAUUAACAUGAAAUUUGAAUAAAUGGGUUGUCACAUGUAGUUUAGAUUCAAAGUCUUUAGGGGACCAAUUUACAAUAGAAAAAUCAAAGACUUGGUGGUAUUAUUAACAGUGAUACCUCUAGGACCCUAAAACCAAAGUUAAUAUAUGUAGUAGAAACAGUGUUUAAAUAUGUAGUAGUGAUUUAGGGGAUUAUAAUAAUAAAUAAAACAGUUGAUAUAAUUAAAUUACAAAGGAUAAUAUCAAGAUAGUUGAUAUAAUUAAAAACUUUUUAUAUCGGUAGUAGUGAUUUAGGGGAUUAUAAUAAUCAAUAAAUUAAAAGAUAACAAUUAAAUUUCAAAGGAUAAAUUAUUGUCAAGAUCAGCAAAGGGUGUAAAUCUAAUAGUUCAGCCAAAUGAGUUUCUUGCUAUGGUGUACUCAGCCAUUUAAGUUUCACGAGUGGACAAUUAAAAGAAUUUAUUACAAAACAUUAUUCAAAUUUUGGGAGAGAAUAAUUCACCAAGUAUUUUAAAAAUAAACUUCAGAUCAAAUCUAAUAACAAUAUUGGACAAAUCAUGAUACAAUCAAAAUAAUAAUAUAAUAGAUAAUAGAUAACACCGCCCUGUUCUCAAGCCAUAACCAUGGGCCAUAUUCAGAAAUCUUCCCCAAAAUCAAAGCCCUCCAUCUCCAAUUAUUGAAGGCCCAAAUUAAUUUAGCUUCUAACAUUUUUAUUUAAUUUAAUGUAUAGGGCUAAAGGAAUGACAAGGCACCCUACAGAGUACCUACAGGUUUUUCAGAGCCAUCGUAUAUAAAGCUCUCCCCUAUUUCCAUCCAGCCCUUACAUGAUAUAGAAGAAAGUAAUAAGAAGAUGGUUAAGAAGAUAAAAGAACUAAACCUAGAUUAUAUAAUCGGAUAUGGAUUUUCUACGUUUUUUCGGAUGCGCUUCCCAAACCCUAGAUACAUUCAUAAAUGCAAAUGGAGAUUGAGUUCUUGCCAUUUAUAGGCCCAACAAACAAUUGUUUUGACCAAUUUAUUUUCACCGUCUUUCUAUCCGAAUUUCUUACUCCAUUUUAGAUGAUAUAAUUCCCAUGUUAUUGAAACAACAAAAAAACACUUAUUUUUGUAUUUUAAGAUCAUUUUUUAAGAUCUUAAAAUACAAAAACCCGAUUACUGGAUUUUAUUGAUUAUAAUAUCCAUUCAUCAACUAGUUUCAAUCUGCUGAAUACCAACGGCCAUAUGGUUCUUUCAAUGUGCAUUUGUAAGCAUAGGCACCCAAUGCUAAGCCUUUUUCUUUACGAACACUAAAUUAUAUUUACAAAAUAUGAAACCAUGAUUCAAAAAUCACUCUUUUCAAAAAAUACUUGUUGUAAACAAGGACAUAACGAAUCAAAAGAUAAUAAUAAGCAAACGAAAGAAAUGUAAUGGCGUUUAGAGGCGAAUUUGUGACGAAUUGAAAGGGGAUUGUAGGCGAAAGGAAAUUUGGCAAAGCGUCGAACAUCACAAUAAAAUACAAACCAACUUUCAAGCACGAAAUUCAUACUAUGAUACCAUUUUAAAAUUUAAUGUAUAGGGCUAACGAGUGACAAGGCACCCUACAGAGUUCCUACAAGUUUUUCAGAGCCAUCGUAUAUAAAGCUCUCCCCUAUUUGCAUCCAGCCCUUACAUGAUAUAGAAGAAAGUAAUAAGAAGAUGUUUAAGAAGAUAGAAGAACUAAACCUAGAUUAUAUAAUCGGAUAUGAAUUUUCUAUGUUUUUUUGGCUGCGCUUCCCAAACCCUAGAUACAUUCAUAAAUACAGAUGAAGAUGGAGUUCUUGCCAUUUAUAGGCCCAGCAAACAAUGGUUUUGACCACAUUAUUUCCACCGUCUUUCUAUCCUAAUUUCUUACUCCAUUUUAGAUGAUAUAUUACCAUGUUAUUGCAACAACAAAAAAACCUUUAUUUUUGUAUUUUAAGAUCUUAAAAUACAAAAACCCGAUUAUCGAAUUUUAUUGAUUAUAAUAUACAUUCAUCAACUAGUUUCAAUCUACUAAAUACCAACGGCCAUAUAGUUCUUUCGAUGUGCAUUUGUAAGCAUAGGCACCACAUGCUAAGCCUUUUUCAUUACCAACACUAAAGUAUAAUUACAAAAUAUGAAACCAUGAAUCAAAAAUCACACUUUUCAAAAAAUACUUGUUGUAAACAAGGACAUAAAGAAUCGAAAGAUAAUAAUAAGCAAACGAAAGAAAUGUAAUGGCGUUUGGAGGCGAAUUUGUGAAGAAUUGAAAGGGGAUUGUAGGCGAAAGGAAUUUUGCCAAAGUGCCGAACAUUACAAUCAAAUACAAACCAACUUUCAAGCACGAAAUCCAUACUAUGAUACCAUUUUAAAAUUUAAUGUAUAGGGCUAAGGAAUGACAUGGCAUCCUACAGAGUACAUGCAGCUUUUUCAGAGCCAUCGUAUAUAAAGCUCUCCCCUAUUUGCAUCCAGCCCUUACAUGAUACAGAAGAAAGUAAUAAUAAGAUGGUUAAGGAGAUAGAAGAACUAAACCAAGAUUAUAUAAUCAGAUAUGGAUUUUCUAUGUUUUUUCUGUUGCAUUUCCCAAACCCUAGAUACAUAUAUAGACGGAGAUGGAGUUGUUGCCAUUUAUAGUCCCAGCAAACAAUGGUUUUGACCAAAUUAUUUCCACCGUCUUUCUAUCCUAAUUUCUUACUCCAUUUUAGAUGAUAUAUUCCCCUGUUAUUGCAACAAUAAAAAACACUUAUUUUUGUAUUUUAAGAUCUUAAAAUACAAAAACCCGAUAACCGGAUUUUAUUGAUUAUAAUAUCCAUUCAUCAACUAUUUUCAUUCUGUUGAAUACCAAUGGCCAUAUGGUUCUUUCAAUCUGCAUUUGUAAGCAUAGGCACCCCAUGCUAAGUUUUUUUCAUUGCCAACACUAAAAUAUAAUUACAAAAUAUGAAACCAAGAAUCAAAAAUCACUCUUUUCAAAAAAUACUUGUUGUAAACAAGGACAUAAAGAAUCGAAAGAUAAUAAUAAGCAAACGAAAGAAAUGUAAUGGCGUUUGGAGGCGAAGUUGUGAAGAAUUGAAAGGGGAUUGUAAGCGAAAGGGAAUUUGGCAAAGCGCCGAACAUCACAAUCAAAUACAAACCAACUUUCAAGCACGAAAUCCGUACUAUGAUGCCAUCUUAAAAUUUAAUAUACAGGACUAAGGAGUGACAAGGCACCCUACAGAGUACAUGCAGGUUUUUCAGAGCCAUCGUAUGUAAAGCUCUCCCCUAUUUGCAUCCAACCCUUACAUGAUAUAGAAGAAAAUAAUAAGAAGAUGGUUAAGCAGAUAGAAUAACUAAACCUAGAUUAUAUAUUCAGAUAUGGAUUUUCUACGUUUUUUCAGUUGCAUUUCCCAAACCCUAGAUACAAUCAUAGAUGCAAAUGGAAAUGGAGUUCUUGCCAUUUAUAGGCCCAGUCAACAAUGGUUUUGACCAAAUUAUCUCCGCCGUCUUUCUAUCCUAAUUUCUUACUCCAUUUUAGAUGAUAUAUUCCAAUGUUUUUACAACAAAAAAACACUUAUUUUUGUAUUUUAAGAUCAUUUUUUAAGAUCUUAAAAUACAAAAACCUGAUUACCGUAUUUUAUUGAUUAUAAUAUUAACUCAUCAACUAGUUUCAAUCUGAUGAAUAACAACGACCAUAUGGUUCUUUCAAUGUGCAUUUGUAAGCAUAGGCAUGCUAAGCUUUUUUCAUUACCAACACUAAAGUAUAAUUACAAAAUAUGAAACCAUGAAUCAAAAAUCUCUCUUUUCAAAAAAUAAUUGUUGUAAACAAGGACAUAAAGAAUCAAAAGAUAAUAAUAAGCAAAUGAAAGAAAUGUAAUGGCGUUUGGAGGUGAAUUUGUGACGAAUUGAAAGGGGAUUGUAGGCGAAAGGAAAUUUGGCAAAGCGUCGAACAUCAUAAUCAGAUACAAACCAACUUUCAAGCACGAAAUUCGUACUAUGAUACCAUCUUAAAAUUUAAUGUAUAUGGCUAAGGAAUGACAAGGCACCCUAUAGAGUACCUGCAGGUUUUUCAGAGCCAUCGUAUAUAAAGCUCUCCCCUAUUUGCAUCCAGCCCUUAAAUGAUAUAGAAGAAAGUAAUAAGAAGAUGGUUAAGAAGAUAGAAGAACUACACCUAGAUUAUAUAAUCGGAUUUGAAUUUUCUACGUUUUUUCGGCUGUUCUUCCCAAACCCUAGAUACAUUCAUAAAUGCAGAUGGAAAUGGAAUUCUUGCCAUUUAUAGGCACAGCAAACAAUGUUUUUGACCAAAUUAUUUCCACCGUCAUUCUAUCCUAAUUUCUUACUCCAUUUUAGAUUAUAUAUUCCCCUGUUAUUGCAACAACAAAAAAAACCCUUAUUUUUGUAUUUUAAGAUCAUUUUUUAAGAUCUUAAAAUACAAAAACCCGAUUAUCGAAUUUUAUUGAUUAUAAUAUCCAUUCAUCAACUAGUUUCAAUCUGCUGAAUACCAACGGCCAUAUGGUUCUUUCGAUGUGCAUUUGUAAGCAUAGGCACCCCAUGCUAAGCCUUUUUCAUUACCAACACUAAAGUAUAAUUACAAAAUAUAAAAUCAUGAAUCAAAAAUCACACUUUUCAAAAAAUACUUGUUAUAAACAAGGACAUAAAGAAUCGAAAGAUAAUAAUAAGCAAACGAAAGAAAUGUAAUGGCGUUUGGAGGCGAAUUUGUGAAAAAAUGAAAGGGAUUAUAGGCAAAAGGAAAUCUGGCAAAGCACUGAACCUUACAAUCAAAUACAAACCAACUUUCAAGCAUGAAAUCCGUACUAUGAUACCUUUUUAAAAUGGCUUAAAUAUGAAUUAGUACCCUAAACUAUAGGCCAUAUUCCACUUCGGUGAUCCACCUUUCAAUUUUGUCAAUUACAUGAUUAAACUUUCAAUUUUUUCCAAUUGCAACAAAUUGAAUAUGAUACGUCAGAAAUUGCUGACGUGGCUAAUUGUGUGUGGCCUUAAUAAGCUGAUGUGGCAAAAAAACAAUUUUUUAAUUAUUAAAUAAACAAAUCUGAUUAUGGGUGGGGCAAAAUCGUCAAAACCAAAUUAAAAUAAAAUAAACUUAUAUAUCAGUACCUUUCAUCCCUUCCAUUACAAUCGAUCGAUCAAGAUAAAAGCCCCAAAUCGCUCGACAAAUCCUAGCUCAACUGAAGCGAAGAAUUUUUGAGAAUCAACCAUUUCGGUACUCAAUCGGUUCAACAAUGAAGUAAGUAUGUGAUUUAGCUUUUCUCUGUUGCUCCGUUGCUACCCCAAAAGUAAAAAUCCUACUCAGUUCUCCUGAUAGUCCUACUAUCAUCUGGUGUGAUUUAAAAGAUUUAAGGAAAACAAGCAAGUUAGGGUUUCAGUUAUCUACCCCAAAAAUCCCUCCCUGAAAAUGGAAAUGACUGGUAUGGAAGAUGAACUGGAGUUGAGCGAGUGUCUUGAUUCAAUGGGUGAGACUCCAAGGUGCUAUUGUGGGUAUAGAGCUCGAAUGAAGAUAUCUUGGACUAAGAGUAAUUCAGGAAGAAGGUUCUUUGGUUGUCCACACUGGAGCAAGGUAUAGUAAUAUAGUCUUGGUUGGCUGAGUUUUACUCUUAUUCUCUAGGUACUAUAAAAUACACUUGUGUUGGAAUUGUAUUUAUGUUUUGAUUUGGUUUUUAUCAACCAUGCAGGACAAAUUGACAAGCAAACACUGCAACUUCUUUUGUUGGUAUGACCAAGAGAUUUGUAAAAGGUCUAAAGAAGUUUUACCUGAGUUGAAACUUAUGAUAAGUGCUCUGAAUUUAGAAAUAGAAAGAAAGAAGUAUGAAAUUGAGAGAGGCAAUGAAAAAAUAAAUGAAUUGGAAAAAAGUAAUGAAAAGCUUCAAAUUGAAUGUGUGGAGCAAAGUGAAGAGGUUGGAAGAUUGAGAGAGGUGAUUGAAUUGUUGAGAAGGAAGGAUAAAAUGUGUAGCACUUCUAUUAAAGCCAUAUUAUUAGGCAUGAUAUUUGUAUUCAUGUUAGGACAUCUGUAUGUGAAUGAUAGUGGUGAAUAAUUGUAAUUUAUAGUUUGAAUUAUGUAUAAAAGAACUAGUUUGCAAUGAAUGGUGAAAGUUGGUUUUAACCUAUGAAACCUUUGCAAUGAAUGUAAUUUUUAGAUUGCAAUGAAUGAUUGUAAUUUUUAGAUUUGCAAUGAAUGAGUUGUAUUGAUGAAAAAAGUUAGUUUGAAUUAUGUAUGGUUCAAGUCAAGCUGCAAUGUUAAAGGUGCACAAAGCACUGCUUUUCAUAUUUAUAACACUGAUUUUUUAACAAACUGCUGCAAACAAGCAUUGUUAUUUCCAUUGUUAUAACAAACUACUGUUAUAACAAACUGAUGUUAUAACAAACUGCUGCAAANNNNNNNNNNNNNNNNNNNNNNNNNNNNNNNNNNNNNNNNNNNNNNNNNNNNNNNNNNNNNNNNNNNNNNNNNNNNNNNNNNNNNNNNNNNNNNNNNNNNNNNNNNNNNNNNNNNNNNNNNNNNNNNNNNNNNNNNNNNNNNNNNNNNNNNNNNNNNNNNNNNNNNNNNNNNNNNNNNNNNNNNNNNNNNNNNNNNNNNNNNNNNNNNNNNNNNNNNNNNNNNNNNNNNNNNNNNNNNNNNNNNNNNNNNNNNNNNNNNNNNNNNNNNNNNNNNNNNNNNNNNNNNNNNNNNNNNNNNNNNNNNNNNNNNNNNNNNNNNNNNNNNNNNNNNNNNNNNNNNNNNNNNNNNNNNNNNNNNNNNNNNNNNNNNNNNNNNNNNNNNNNNNNNNNNNNNNNNNNNNNNNNNNNNNNNNNNNNNNNNNNNNNNNNNNNNNNNNNNNNNNNNNNNNNNNNNNNNNNNNNNNNNNNNNNNNNNNNNNNNNNNNNNNNNNNNNNNNNNNNNNNNNNNNNNNNNNNNNNNNNNNNNNNNNNNNNNNNNNNNNNNNNNNNNNNNNNNNNNNNNNNNNNNNNNNNNNNNNNNNNNNNNNNNNNNNNNNNNNNNNNNNNNNNNNNNNNNNNNNNNNNNNNNNNNNNNNNNNNNNNNNNNNNNNNNNNNNNNNNNNNNNNNNNNNNNNNNNNNNNNNNNNNNNNNNNNNNNNNNNNNNNNNNNNNNNNNNNNNNNNNNNGGUUCUUUCAAUGUGCAUUUGUAAGCAUAGGCACCCCAUGCUAAGUUUUUUUCAUUGCCAACAUUAAAGUAUAAUUAUAAAAUAUUAAGCCAUGAAUCAAAAAUCACUCUUUUCAAAAAAUACUUGUUGUAAACAAGGACAUAAAGAAUCGAAAGAUAAUAAUAAGCAAACGAAAGAAAUGUAAUGGCGUUUAGUGGCGAAUUUGUGAAGAAUUGAAAGGGGAUUGUAGGUGAAAGGAAAUUUGGAAAAGCGCCGAACAUCACAAUCAAAUACAAACCAACUUUCAAGCAUGAAAUUCGUACUAUGAUACCAUCUUAAAAUUUAAUGUACAAGACUAAGGAGUGACAAGGAACCCUACAGAGUACCUACAGGUUUUUCAGAGCCAUCGUAUAUAAAGCUCAACCCUAUUUGCAUCCAGCCCUUACAUGAUAUAGAAGAAAAUAAUAAGAAGACGGGUAAGCAGAUAGAAUAACUAAACCUAGAUUAUAUAUCCGAAUAUGACUUUUCUACGUUUUUUCAGUUGCGCUUCCCAAACCCUAGAUACACAUAGAUGGAGAUGGAGUUCUUGCCAUUUAUAAGCCCAGUCAACAAUGGUUUUGACCAAAUUAUUUCCACCGCCUUUCUAUCCUAAUUUCUUAUUCCAUUUUAGAUGAUAAAUUCCAAUGUUUUUGCAACAAAAAAAAACACUUAUUUUUGUAUUUUAAGAUCUUAAAAUACAAAAACCUGAUUACUGAAUUUUAUUGAUUGAAUAUUCAUUCAUCAACUAGUUUCAAUCUGUUGAAUACCAACGGCCAUAUGGUUCUUUCAAUGUGCAUUUAUAAGUAUAGGCAUGCUAAGCUUUUUUCAUUACCAACACUAAAGUAUAAUUACAAAAUAUGAAACCAUGAAUCAAAAAUCACUCUUUUCAAAAAUACUUGUUGUAAACAAGGACAUAAAGAAUCGAAAGAUAAUAAUAAGCAAACGAAAGAAAUGUAAUGGCGUUUGGAGCCGAAUUUGUGACGAAUUGAAAGGAGAUUGUAGGCGAAAGAAAAUUUGGCAAAGCGACGAACAACACAAUCAGAUACAAACAAACUUUCAAGCACGAACUUCGUACUAUGAUACCAUCUUAAAAUUUAAUGUAUAGGGCUAAGGAAUGACAAGGCACCCUACAGAGUACCUACAGGUUUUUCAGAACCAUCGUAUAUAAAGGUCUCCCCUAUUUGCAUCCAGCCCUUACAUCAUAUAGAAGAAAGUAAUAAGAAUAUGGUUAAGGAGAUAGAAGAACUAAAUAUAGAUUAUAUAAUCGGAUAUGGCAUUUCUACGUUUUUUCAGCUGUGUUUCCCAAACCCUAGAUACUUACAUAGAUGGAGAUGGAGUUCUUGCCAUUUAUAGGCCCAGCAAACAAUGGUUUUGACCAAAUCAUUUCCACCAUCUUUCUAUCCUAAUUUCUUACUCCAUUUUCGAUAAUAUAUUCCCCUUUUAUUACAACAAAAAAACACUUAUUUUUGUAUUUUAAGAUCUUAAAAUACAAAAACCUGAUUACCGGAUUUUAUUGAUUAUAAUAUCCAUUCAUCAACUAGCUUCAAUUUGCUGAAUACCAACGGCCAUAUGGUUCUUUCAAUGUGCAUUUGUAAGCAUAGGCACCCCCAUGCUAAACUUUUUGCAUUACCAACACUAAAGUAUAAUUACAAAAUAUGAAACCAUGAAUCAAAAAUCACUCUUUUCAAAAAAUACUUGUUGUAAACAAGGACAUAAAGAAACGAAAGAUAAUAAGCAAACGAAAUAAAUGUAAUUGCGUUUGGAGGCGAAAGGAAAUUUGGCAAAGCGCCAAACAUCACAAUCAAAUACAAACCAACUUUCAAGCACGAAAUCUGUACUAUGAUACCAUCUUAAAAUUUUAUGUAUAGGGCUAAAGGAAUGACAAGUGACAAGGCACCCUACAGGUUUUUCAAAGCCAUCGUAUAUAAAGCUCUCCCCUAUUUGCAUCCAGCCCUUACAUGAUAUAGAAGAAAGUAAUAAGAUGGUUAAGAAGAUAGAAGAACUAAACCAAGAUUGUAUAAUCGGAUAUGGCUUUUCAACGUUUUUUCGAUUGCGCUUCCCAAACCCUAUAUACAUUCAUAAAUGCAGAUGGAGUUCUUGCCAUUUAUAGGCCCAGCAAACAAUUGUUUUGACCAAAUUAUUUCCACCGUCUUUCUAUCCUAAUUUCUUACUCCAUUUUAGAUGAUAUAUUGCCCUAUUAUUGCAACAACAAAAAAACACUUAUUUUUGUAUUUUAAGAUCAUUUUUUAAGAUCUUAAAAUACAAAAACCCGAUUACCGGAUUUUAUUGAUUAUAAUAUCCAUUCAUCAACUAGCUUCAAUCUGCUGAAUACCAACGGCCAUAUGAUUUUUUCAAUGUACAUUUGUAAGUAUAGGCACCCCAUGUUAAGCCUUUUUCAUUACCAACACUAAAGUAUAAUUACAACAAAUGAAACCAUGGAUCAAAAAUCACUCUUUUCAAAAAUUACUUGUUGUAAACAAGGACAUAAAGAAUCGAAAGAUAAUAAUAAGCAAACGAAAGAAAUGUAAUGGCGUUUGGAGGAGAAUUGUGACGAAUUGAAAGGGGAUUGUAGGCGAAAGGAAAUUUGGAAAAGCGUCGAACAUCAUAAUCAAAUACAAACCAACUUUGAAGCACGAAAUUCGUACUAUGAUACCAUUUUAAAAUUUAAUGUAUAGGGCUAAGGAAUGACAAGGCACCCUACACAGUACCUGCAGGUUCUACAGAGCCAUCGUAUAUAAAGCUCUCCCCUAUUUGCAUCCAGCCCUUACAUGAUAUAGAAGAAAGUAAUAAGAAUAUGGUUAAGAAGAUAGAAGAACUAAACCUAGAUUAUAUAAUCGGAUAUGAUUUUUCUAUGUUUUUUUGGCUACGCUUCCCAAACCCUAGAUGCAUUAAUAAAUGCAGAUGGUUUUGACCAAAUUAUUUCCAUCGUCUUUCUAUCCUAAUUUCUUACUCCAUUUUAGAUGAUAUAUUCCCCUUUUAUUGGAACAACAAAAAAACACUUAUUUUUGUAUUUUAAGAUCAUUUUUUAAGAUCUUAAAUUACAAAAACUCGAUUACCGAAUUUUACUGAUUAUGAUAUCCAUUCAUCAACUAGUUUCAAUCUGUUGAAUACCAACGGCCAUAUGGUUCUUUCAAUGUGCAUUUGGAAGUAUAGGCACCCCAUGCUAAGCCUUUAUCAUUACCAACACUAAAGUAUAAUUACAAAAUAUGAAACCAUGAAUCAAAAAUCACACUUUUCAAAAAAAUACUUGUAAACAAGGACAUAAACAAUCGAAAGAUAAUAAUAAGCACACGAAAGAAAUGUAAUGGCGUUUGGAGGCGAAUUUGUGAAGAGUUGAAAGGAGAUUGUAGGCGAAAGCAAAUUUAGCAAGGCGCCGGACAUUACAAUAAAAUACAAAACCAACUUUCAAGCACGAAAUCCGUACUAUGAUACCAUUUUAAAAUUUAAUGUAUAUGGCUAGGGAAUGACAAGGCACCCUACAGAGUACCUACAGGUUUUUCAGAGCCAUCGUACAUACAGCUCUCCCCUAUUUGCAUCCAGCCCUUACAUGAUAUAGAAGAAAAUAAUAAGAUGGUUAAGGAGAUAUAAGAACUAAACCUAGAUUAUAUAAUCGGAUAUGGCAUUUUUACGCUUUUUUCUGCUGCGCUUCCAAAACCCUAGAUAUAUACAUAUAUGGAGAUGAACUUCUUGCCAUUUAUAGGCCCAGCAAACAAUGGUUUUGACCAAAUUAUUUCCACUGUCUUUCUAUCCCAAUUUCUUACUCCAUUUUAGAUGAUAUAUUCCCCUGUUAUUGCAACAACAAAAAACACUUAUUUUUGUAUUUUAAGAUCAUUUUUUAAGAUCUUAAAAUACAAAAAACCGAUUACCGAAUUUUAUUGAUUAUAAUAUCCAUUCAUCAAUUAGCUUCAAUCCGCUGAAUACCAACGGCCAUAUGGUUCUUUCAAUGUGCAUUUGUAAGCAUAGGCACCCCAUGCUAAGCCUUUUUCAUUACCAACACUAAAGUAUAAUUACAAAAUAUGAAACCAUGAAUCAAAAAUCACUCUUUUCAAAAAAUACUUGUUGUAAACAAGGACAUAAAGAAUUGAAAGAUAAUAAUAAGCAAACGAAAGAAAUGUAAUUGCGUUUGGAGGCGAAUUUGUGAAGAAUUGAAAAGGGAUUGUAGGCGAAAAGAAAUUUGGCAAAGCGUCGAACAUUUCAAUCAAAUACAAACCAACUUUCAAGCACGAAAUCCGUACUAUGAUACCAUUUUAAAAUUUAAUGUAUAGGGCUAAGGAAUGACAAGGCACCCUACAGAAUAACUGCAGGUUUUUCAGAGCCAUCGUAUAUAAAGCUCCCCUAUUUGCAUCCAGCCCUUACAUGAUAUAGUAGAAAGUAAUAAUAAGAUGGUUAAGGAGAUAGAAGAACUAAACCUAGAUUAUAUAAUCAGAUAUGGCUUUUUUACGUUUUUUCUUCUGCGCUUCCCAAACCCUAGAUACAUGCGUAGAUGAAGAUGGAGUUCUUACCAUUUAUAGGCCCAACAAACAAUGGUUUUGACCAAAUUAUUUCCACCGUCUUUCUAUCCUAAGUUCUUACUCCAUUUUAGAUGAUAUAUUCCAAUGUUAUUACAACAACAAAAAACACUUAUUUUUUGUAUUGUAAGAUCUUUUUUUAAGAUUUUAAAAUACAAAAACCCGAUUACUGGAUUUUAUUGAUUAUAAUAUCCAUUCAUCUACUAGCUUCAAUCUGUUGAAUACCAACGGCCAUAUUAUUUUUUCAAUGUGCAUUUAUAAGCAUAGGCACCCCAUGCUAAGCCUUUUUCAUUACCAACACUAAAAUAUAAUUACAAAAUAUGAAACCAUGAAUCAAAAAUCACACUUUUCAAAAAAUACUUGUUGUAAACAAGGACAUAAAGAAUUGAAAGAUAAUAAUAAGCAAACGAAAGAAAUGUAAUUACGUUUGGAGGCGAAUUUGUGACGAAUUGAAAGGGGAUUGUAGGCAAAAGGAAAUUUGGCAAAGCGUCGAACAUCACAAUCAAAUACAAACCAACUUUCAAGCACGAAAUUCGUACUAUGAUACCAUUUUAAAAUUUAAUGUAUAGGGCUAAUGUGACGACCCCAAAUCCAGGUACUUGAAACCCAAACUCGGUUCUCCACGAUACCAUUUCUUUAAGCUGAAUAAUACUAAAUAAUAAUACAUUCGAACUUAAUUUACAUACAUCAAAGUUUACUUCCCCAGGUACGUGACCUUCAAAUACAUUCCUUACAAUANNNNNNNNNNNNNNNNNNNNNNNNNNNNNNNNNNNNNNNNNNNNNNNNNNNNNNNNNNNNNNNNNNNNNNNNNNNNNNNNNNNNNNNNNNNNNNNNNNNNNNNNNNNNNNNNNNNNNNNNNNNNNNNNNNNNNNNNNNNNNNNNNNNNNNNNNNNNNNNNNNNNNNNNNNNNNNNNNNNNNNNNNNNNNNNNNNNNNNNNNNNNNNNNNNNNNNNNNNNNNNNNNNNNNNNNNNNNNNNNNNNNNNNNNNNNNNNNNNNNNNNNNNNNNNNNNNNNNNNNNNNNNNNNNNNNNNNNNNNNNNNNNNNNNNNNNNNNNNNNNNNNNNNNNNNNNNNNNNNNNNNNNNNNNNNNNNNNNNNNNNNNNNNNNNNNNNNNNNNNNNNNNNNNNNNNNNNNNNNNNNNNNNNNNNNNNNNNNNNNNNNNNNNNNNNNNNNNNNNNNNNNNNNNNNNNNNNNNNNNNNNNNNNNNNNNNNNNNNNNNNNNNNNNNNNNNNNNNNNNNNNNNNNNNNNNNNNNNNNNNNNNNNNNNNNNNNNNNNNNNNNNNNNNNNNNNNNNNNNNNNNNNNNNNNNNNNNNNNNNNNNNNNNNNNNNNNNNNNNNNNNNNNNNNNNNNNNNNNNNNNNNNNNNNNNNNNNNNNNNNNNNNNNNNNNNNNNNNNNNNNNNNNNNNNNNNNNNNNNNNNNNNNNNNNNNNNNNNNNNNNNNNNNNNNNNNNNNNNNNNNNNNNNNNNNNNNNNNNNNNNNNNNNNNNNNNNNNNNNNNNNNNNNNNNNNNNNNNNNNNNNNNNNNNNNNNNNNNNNNNNNNNNNNNNNNNNNNNNNNNNNNNNNNNNNNNNNNNNNNNNNNNNNNNNNNNNNNNNNNNNNNNNNNNNNNNNNNNNNNNNNNNNNNNNNNNNNNNNNNNNNNNNNNNNNNNNNNNNNNNNNNNNNNNNNNNNNNNNNNNNNNNNNNNNNNNNNNNNNNNNNNNNNNNNNNNNNNNNNNNNNNNNNNNNNNNNNNNNNNNNNNNNNNNNNNNNNNNNNNNNNNNGACUAAGGAGUGACAAGGAACCCUACAGAGUACCUACAGGUUUUUCAGAGCCAUCGUAUAUAAAGCUCAACCCUAUUUGCAUCCAGCCCUUACAUGAUAUAGAAGAAAAUAAUAAGAAGACGGGUAAGCAGAUAGAAUAACUAAACCUAGAUUAUAUAUCCGAAUAUGACUUUUCUAUGUUUUUUCAGUUGCGCUUCCCAAACCCUAGAUACACAUAGAUGGAGAUGGAGUUCUUGCAAUUUAUAAGCCCAGUCAACAAUGGUUUUGACCAAAUUAUUUCCACCGCCUUUCUAUCCUAAUUUCUUAUUCCAUUUUAGAUGAUAAAUUCCAAUGUUUUUGCAACAAAAAAAAACACUUAUUUUUGUAUUUUAAGAUCUUAAAAUACAAAAACCUGAUUACCGAAUUUUAUUGAUUGAAUAUUCAUUCAUCAACUAGUUUCAAUCUGUUGAAUACCAACGGCCAUAUGGUUCUUUCAAUGUGCAUUUGUAAGCAUAGGCAUGCUAAGCUUUUUUCAUUACCAACACUAAAGUAUAAUUACAAAAUAUGAAACCAUGAAUCAAAAAUCACUCUUUUCAAAAAAUACUUGUUGUAAACAAGGACAUAAAGAAUCGAAAGAUAAUAAUAAGCAAACGAAAGAAAUGUAAUGGCGUUUGGAGCCGAAUUUGUGACGAAUUGAAAGGAGAUUGUAGGCGAAAGAAAAUUUGGCAAAGCGUCGAACAACACAAUCAGAUACAAACAAACUUUCAAGCACGAACUUCGUACUAUGAUACCAUCUUAAAAUUUAAUGUAUAGGGCUAAGGAAUGACAAGGCACCCUACAGAGUACCUACAGGUUUUUCAGAACCAUCGUAUAUAAAGGUCUCCCCUAUUUGCAUCCAGCCCUUACAUCAUAUAGAAGAAAGUAAUAAGAAUAUGGUUAAGGAGAUAGAAGAACUAAAUAUAGAUUAUAUAAUCGGAUAUGGCAUUUCUACGUUUUUUCAGCUGUGUUUCCCAAACCCUAGAUACUUACAUAGAUGGAGAUGGAGUUCUUGCCAUUUAUAGGCCCAGCAAACAAUGGUUUUGACCAAAUCAUUUCCACCGUCUUUCUAUCCUAAUUUCUUACUCCAUUUUAGAUAAUAUAUUCCCCUUUUAUUACAACAAAAAAACACUUAUUUUUGUAUUUUAAGAUCUUAAAAUACAAAAACCUGAUUACCGGAUUUUAUUGAUUAUAAUAUCCAUUCAUCAACUAGCUUCAAUUUGCUGAAUACCAACGGCCAUAUGGUUCUUUCAAUGUGCAUUUGUAAGCAUAGGCACCCCCAUGCUAAACUUUUUGCAUUACCAACACUAAAGUAUAAUUACAAAAUAUGAAACCAUGAAUCAAAAAUCACUCUUUUCAAAAAAUACUUGUUGUAAACAAGGACAUAAAGAAACGAAAGAUAAUAAGCAAACGAAAUAAAUGUAAUUGCGUUUGGAGGCGAAAGGAAAUUUGGCAAAGCGCCAAACAUCACAAUCAAAUACAAACCAACUUUCAAGCACGAAAUCCGUACUAUGAUACCAUCUUAAAAUUUUAUGUAUAGGGCUAAAGGAAUAACAAGUGACAAGGCACCCUACAGGUUUUUCAAAGCCAUCGUAUAUAAAGCUCUCCCCUAUUUGCAUCCAGCCCUUACAUGAUAUAGAAGAAAGUAAUAAGAUGGUUAAGAAGAUAGAAGAACUAAACCAAGAUUAUAUAAUCGGAUAUGGCUUUUCAACGUUUUUUCGACUGCGCUUCCCAAACCCUAUAUACAUUCAUAAAUGCAGAUGGAGUUCUUGCCAUUUAUAGGCCCAGCAAACAAUUGUUGUAAACAACACUAAAGUAUAAUUACAAAAUAUGAAAUCAUGAAUCAAAAAUCACUCUUUUCAAAAAAUACUUGUUGUAAACAAGGACAAAAAGAAUCAAAAGAUAAUAAUAAGCAAACGAAAGAAAUGUAAUGGCGUUUGGAGGCGAAUUUGUGACGAAUUGAAAGGGGAUUGUAGGCGAAUGAAAAUUUGGCAAAGCGUCGAACAUUACAAUCAAAUACAAACCAACUUUCAAGCACGAAAUCCGUACUAUGAUACCAUUUUAAAAUUUAAUGUAUAGGGCUAAGGAAUGACAAGGCACCCUACAGAGUACCUGCAGGUUUUUCAGAAAAAAUCGUAUAUAAAGCUCUCCCCUAUUUGCUUCCAGCCCUUAGAUGAUAUAGAAGAAAUUAAUAAGAAGAUGGUUAAGAAGAUAGAAGAACUAAACCUAGAUUAUAUAAUCGGUUAUGGCUUUUCUACGUUUUUUUUGCUACGCUUCCCAAACCCUAGAUACAUACAUAGAUGGAGAUGAAGUUCUUGCCAUUUAUAGGCCCAGAAAACAAUGGUUUUGACUAAAUUAUUUCCACCGUCUUUCUAUCCUAAUUUCUUACUCCAUUUUAGAUGAUAUAUUCCCCUUUUAUUGCAACAACAAAAAAACACUUAUUUUUUGUAUUUUAAGAUCAUUUUUUAUGAUCUUAAAUUACAAAAACCCGAUUACCAAAUUUUACUGAUUAUAAUAUCCAUUCAUCAACUAGUUUCAAUCUGCUGAAUACUAACGGCCAUAUGGUUCUUUCAAUGUGCAUUUGUAAGCAUAGGCAUGCUAAGCUUUUUUCAUUACCAACACUAAAGUAUAAUUACAAAAUAUGAAACCAUAAAUCAAAAAUCACACUUUUCAAAAAAUACUUGUUGUAAACAAGAACAUAAACAAUCGAAAGAUUAUUAAGCAAACGAAAUAAGUGUAAUGGCGUUUGGAGGCGAAUUUGUGAUGAAUUGAAAGGGGAUUGUAGGCGAAAGGAAAUUUGGAAAAGCGCCGAACAUUACAAUCAAAUACAAACCAACUUUCAAGAACAAAAUUCGUACUAUGAUGCCAUUUUAAAAUUUAAUGUAUAGGACUAAGGAAUGACAAGGCACCCUACAGAGUACCUGCAGGUUUUUCAGAGACAUCGUAUAUAAAGCUCCCUUAUUUGCAUCCAGCCCUUACAUGAUAAAUAGAAGAAAGUAAUAAGAAGAUGGUUAAGGAGAUAGAAGAACUAAACCUAGAUUAUAUAAUCGGAUAUAGCUUUUCUACGUUUUUUCUGCAGCGCUUCCCAAACCCUAGAUACAUGCCUAGAUGGAGAUGGAGUUCUUACCAUUUAUAGGCCUACCAAACAAUGGUUUUGACCAAAUUAUUUCCACAGUCUUUCUAUCCUAAUUUCUUACUUCAUUUUAGAUGAUAUAUUCCCCUGUUAUUGCAACAACAAAAAACACUUAUUUUUGUAUUUUAAGAUCAUUUUUUAAGAUCUUAAAAUACAAAAACCCGAUUACCGAAUUUUAUUGAUUAUAAUAUUUAUUAAUCAACUAGUUUCAAUCUGCUGAAUACCAACGGCCAUAUGGUUCUUUCAAUGUGCAUUUGUAAGCAUAGGCACCCCAUGCUAAGCCUUUUUCAUUACCAACACUAAAGUAUAAUUACAAAAUAUGAAAUCAUGAAUCAAAAAUUACUCUUCUCAAAAAAUACUUGUUGUAAACAAGGACAAAAAGAAUCAAAAGAUAAUAAUAAGCAAACGAAAGAAAUGUAAUGGCGUUUGGAGGCGAAUUUGUGACGAAUUGAAAGGGGAUUGUAGGCGAAAGAAAAUUUGGAAAAGCGCCGAACAUCACAAUCAAAUACAAACCAACUUUCAACAACGAAAUUCAUACAAUGAUACCAUUUUAAAAUUUAAUGUAUAGGGCUAAGGAAUGACAAGGCACCCUACAGAGUACCUGCAGGUUUUUCAGAACCAUCAUAUAUAAAGCUCUCCCCUAUUUGCAUCCAACCCUUACAUGAUAUAGAAGAAAGUAAUAAGAAGAUGGUUAAGAAGAUAGAAGAACUAAACCUAGAUUAUAUAAUCGGAUAUGGCUUUUCUACAUUUUUUCGGCUGUGGUACCCAAACCCCAGAUACAUACAUAGAUGGAGAUGAACUUCUUACCAUUUAUAGGCCCAGCAAACAAUGGUUUUGACCAAAUUAUUUUCAUCGUCUUUCUAUCCUAAUUUCUUACUCCAUUUUAGAUGAUAUAUUUUCCCCUGUUAUUGCAACAACAAAAAACACUUAUUUUUGUAUUUUAAGAUCAUUUUUUAAGAUCUUAAAAUACAAAAACCUGAUUACCGAAUUUUAUUGAUUAUAAUAUCCAUUCAUCAAUUAGCUUCAAUCCGUUGAAUACCAACGGCCAUAUGGUUCUUUCAAUGUGCAUUUGUAAGCAUAGGCACCCCAUGCUAAGCCUUUUUCAUUACCAACACUAAAGUAUAAUUACAAAAUAUGAAAUCAUGAAUCAAAAAUUACUCUUCUCAAAAAAUACUUGUUGUAAACAAGGACAAAAAGAAUCAAAAAAUAAUAAUAAGCAAACGAAAGAAAUGUAAUGGCGUUUGGAGGCGAAUUUGUGACGAAUUGAAAGGGGAUUGUAGGCGAGAGAAAAUUUGGCAAAGCGUCGAACAUCACAAUCAAAUACAAACCAACUUUCAAGCACGAAAUCCGUACUAUGAUACCAUUUUAAAAUUUAAUGUAUAGGGCUAUGGAAUGACAAGGCACCCUAUAGAGUACCUGCAAGUUCUUCAUAGCCAUCGUAUAUAAAGCUCUCCCCUAUUUGCAUCAAGCCCUUACAUGAUAUAGAAGAAAGUAAUAAGAAGAUGGUUAAGGAGAUAGAAGAAUUAAACCUAGAUUAUAUAAUCUGAUAUGGCUUUUCUACAUUUUUUCGACUGCGCUUCCCAAACCCUAGAUACAUACAUAGAUGGAGAUGAACUUCUUGCCAUUAAUAGGCCCAGCAAACAAUGGUUUUGACCAAAUUAUUUCCACCGUCUUUCUAUCCUAAUUUCUUACUCCAUUUUAGAUGAUAUAUUCCCUUUUUAUUGCAACAACAAUAAAACACUUAUUUUUGUAUUUUAAGAUCAUUUUUUAAGAUCUUAAAUUCCAAAAACCCGAUUACCGAAUUUUACUGAUUAUAAUAUCCAUUCAUCAACUAGUUUCAAUCUGCUGAAUACCAACGGCCAUAUGGUUCUUUCAAUGUGCAUUUGUAAGCAUAGGCACCUUAUGCUAAGCCUUUUUCAUUACUAACACUAAAGUAUAAUUACAAAAUAUGAAACCAUGAAUCAAAAACCACUCUUUUCAAAAAAUACUUGUUGCAAACAAGGACAAAAAGAAUCGAAAGAUAAUAAUAAGCAAACGAAAGAAAUGUAAUGGCGUUUGGAGGCGAAUUUGUGACGAAUUGAAAGGGGAUUGUAGGCGAAAGAAAAUUUGGCAAAGCGCCGAACAUCACAAUCAAAUACAAACCAACUUUCAAGCACGAAAUCCGUACUAUGAUACCAUUUUAAAAUUUAAUGUAUAGGGCUAAGGAAUGACAAGGCACCCUACAGAAUACCUGCAGGUUUUUCAGAGCCAUCGUAUAUAAAGCUCUCCCCUAUUUGCAUCCAGCCCUUACAUGAUAUAGAAGAAAGUAAUAAGAAGAUGGUUAAGAAGAUAGAAGAACUAAACCUAGAUUAUAUAAUCAGAUAUGGCUUUUCUACAUUUUUUCGGAUGCGCUUCCCAAACCAUAGAUACAUACAUAGAUGGAGAUGAACUUCUUGCCAUUAAUAGGCCCAGCAAACAAUGGUUUUGACCAAAUUAUUUUCACCGUCUUUCUAUCCUAAUUUCUUACUCCAUUUUAGAUGAUAUAUUCCAAUGUUAUUACAACAACAUAAAACACUUAUUUUUGUAUUUUAUGAUCAUUUUUUAAGAUCUUAAAAUACAAAAACCCGAUUACCGGAUUUUAUUAAUUAUAAUAUUCAUUCAUCUACUAGCUUCAAUCUGUUGAAUACCAACGGCCAUAUGGUUCUUUCAAUGUGCAUUUAUAAGCUUAGGCACCCCAUGCUAAGCCUUUUUCAUUACCAACACUAAAAUAUAAUUACAAAAUAUGAAACCAUGAAUCAAAAAUCACUCUUUUCAAAAAAUACUUGUUGUACACAAGGACAUAAAGAAUCGAAAGAUAAUAAUAAGCAAACGAAAGAAAUGUAAUUGUGUUUAGAGGCGAAUUUGUGACGAAUUGAAAGGGGAUUGUAGACGAAAGGAAAUUUGGCAAAACGUCGAACAUCACAAUCAAAUACAAACCAACUUUCAAGCACAAAAUUCGUAGUAUGAUACCAUUUUAAAAUUUAAUGUAUAGGGCUAAGGAAUGACAAGGCACCCUACAGAGUAUCUGCAUGUUCUUCAGAGCCAUCGUAUAUAAAGCUCUCCCCUAUUUGCAUCCAGCCCUUACAUGAUAUAGAAGAAAGUAAUAAGAAGAUGGUCAAGGAGAUAGAAGAAUUAAACCUAGAUUAUAUAAUCGGAUAUGGCUUUUCUACGUUUAUUCUGUUUCGCUUCCCAAACUCCAGAUACAUACAUAGAUGGAGAUGGAGUUCUUACCAUUUAUAUGCCCGGCUAACAAUGGUUUUGACCAAAUUAUUUCCACCGUCUUUCUAUCCUAAUUUAUUACUUCAUUUUAGAUGAUAUAUUCCCUUGUUAUUGCAACAACAAAAAACACUUAUUUUUGUAUUUUAAGAUCAUUUUUUAAGAUCUUAAAAUACAAAAACCCGAUUACCGAAUUUUAUUGAUUAUAAUAUACAUUCAUCAAUUAGCUUCAAUACGCUGAAUACCAACGGCCAUAUGGUUCUUUCAAUUUGAAUUUGUAAGCAUAGGCACCCCAUGCUAAGCCUUUUUCAUUACCAACACUAAAGUAUAAUUACAAAAUAUGAAAUCAUGAAUUAAAAAUCACUCUUUUCAAAAAAUACUUGUUGUAAACAAGGACAAAAAGAAUCGAAAGAUAAUAAUAAGCAAACGAAAGAAAUGUAAUGGCGUUUGGAGGCUAAUUUGUGACGAAUUGAAAGGGGAUUGUAGGUGAAAAGAAAUUUGGCAAAGCUUCGAACAUUACAAUCAAAUACAAACCAACUUUCAAGCACGAAAUCCGUACUAUGAUACCAUUUUAAAAUUUAAUGUAUAGGGCUAAGGAAUGACAAGGCACCCUACAGAAUACCUGCAGGUUUUUCAGAGCCAUCGUAUAUAAAGUUCUCCCCUAUUUGCAUCCAGCCCUUACAAGAUAUAGAAGAAAGUAAUAAGAAGACGGUUAAGAAGAUAGAAGAACUAAACCUAGAUUUUAUAAUCGGAUAUGGCUUUUCUACAUUUUUUCGGCUGCGCUUCCCAAACCCUAGAUACAUACAUAGAUGGAGAUGAACUUCUUGCCAUUUAUAGGCCCAGCAAACAAUGGUUUUGACCAAAUUAUUUUCACCGCCUUUCUAUCCUAAUUUCUUACUCCAUUUUAGAUGAUAUAUUCCCCUUUUAUUGCAACAACAAAAAAACACUUAUUUUUGUAUUUUAAGAUCAUUUUUUAAGAUCUUAAAUUACAAAAACCCGAUUAUCGAAUUUUACUGAUUAUAAUAUCCAUUCAUCAACUAGUUUCAAUCUGUUGAAUACUAACGGCCAUAUGGUUCUUUCAAUGUGCAUUUGUAAGCAUAGGCAUGCUAAACUUUUUUCAUUACCAACACUAAAGUAUAAUUACAAAAUAUGAAACCAUGAAUCAAAAAUCACACUUUUCAAAAAAUACUUGUUGUAAACAAGAACAUAAACAAUCGAAAGAUAAUAAUAAGCAAACGAAAGAAGUGUAAUGGCAUUUGGAGGCGAAUUUGUGAUGAAUUGAAAGGGGAUUGUAGGCGAAAGGAAAUUUGGCAAAGCGCCGAACAUUACAAUCAAAUACAAACCAACUUUCAAGCAUAAAAUUCGUACUAUGAUGAUACCAUUUUAAAAUUUAAUGUAUAGGACUAAAUAAUGACAAGGCACCCUACAGAGUACCUGCAGGUUUUUCAGAGACAUCGUAUAUAAAGCUCCCCUAUUUGCAUCCAGCCCUUACAUGAUAUAUAGAAGAAAGUAAUAAGAAGAAGGUUAAGGAGAUAGAAGAACUAAACCUAGAUUAUAUAAUCGGAUAUAGCUUUUCUACGUUUUUUCUGCAGUGCUUCCCAAACCCUAGAUACAAUCAUAGAUGCAAAUGGAAAUGGAGUUCUUGCCAUUUAUAGGCCCAGUCAACAAUGGUUUUGACCAAAUUAUUUCCGCCGUCUUUCUAUCCUAAUUUCUUACUCCAUUUUAGAUGAUAUAUUCCAAUGUUUUUGCAACAAAAAAAACGCUUAUUUUUGUAUUUUAAGAUCUUAAAAUACAAAAACCUGAUUACCGUAUUUUAUUGAUUAUAAUAUUAACUCAUCAACUAGCUUCAAUCUGCUGAAUACCAACGACCAUAUGGUUCUUUCAAUGUGCAUUUGUAAGCAUAGGCAUGCUAAGCUUUUUUCAUUACCAACACUAAAGUAUAAUUACAAAAUAUGAAACCAUGAAUCAAAAAUCUCUCUUUUCAAAAAAUAAUUGUUGUAAACAAGGACAUAAAGAAUCGAAAGAUAAUAAUAAGCAAACGAAAGAAAUGUAAUGGCGUUUGGAGGUGAAUUUGUGACGAAUUGAAAGGGGAUUGUAGGCGAAAGGAAAUUUGGCAAAGCGCCGAACAUCACAAUCAAAUACAAACCAACUUUCAAGCACGAAAUCCGUACUAUGAUACCAUCUUAAAAUUUAAUGUAUAGGGCUAAGGAAUGACAAGGCACCCUAUAGAGUACCUGCAGGUUUUUUAGAGCCAUCGUAUAUAAAGCUCUCCCCUAUUUGCAUCCAGCCCUUAAAUGAUAGAGAAGAAAGUAAUAAGAAGAUGGUUAAGAAGAUAGAAGAACUACACCUAGAUUAUAUAAUCGGAUUUGAAUUUUCUACGUUUUUUCGGCUGUUCUUCCCAAACCCUAGAUACAUUCAUAAAUGCAGAUGGAAAUGGAAUUCUUGCCAUUUAUAGGCACAGCAAACAAUGUUUUUGACCAAAUUAUUUCCACCGUCAUUCUAUCCUAAUUUCUUACUCCAUUUUAGAUUAUAUAUUCCCCUGUUAUUGCAACAACAAAAAAACCCUUAUUUUUGUAUUUUAAGAUCUGAAAAUAUAAAAACCCGAUUAUCGAAUUUUAUUGAUUAUAAUAUCCAUUCAUCAACUAGUUUCAAUCUGCUGAAUACCAACGGCCAUAUGGUUCUUUCGAUGUGCAUUUGUAAGCAUAGGCACCCCAUGCUAAGCCUUUUUCAUUACCAACACUAAAGUAUAAUUACAAAAUAUGAAAUCAUGAAUCAAAAAUCACACUUUUCAAAAAAUACUUGUUGUAAACAAGGACAUAAAGAAUCGAAAGAUAAUAAUAAGCAAACGAAAGAAAUGUAAUGGCGUUUGGAGGCAAAUUUGUGAAAAAAUGAAAGGGAUUGUAGGCAAAAGGAAAUCUGGCAAAGCACUGAACAUUACAAUCAAAUACAAACCAACUUUCAAGCAUGAAAUCCGUACUAUGAUACCUUUUUAAAAUGGCUUAAAUAUGAAUUAGUACCCUAAACUAUAGGCCAUAUUCCACUUUGGUGAUCCACCUUUCAAUUUUGUCAAUUACAUGAUUAAACUUUCAAUUUUUUCCAAUUGCAACAAAUUGAAUAUGCCACGUCAGAAAUUGCUGACGUGGCUAAUUGUGUGGGGCCUUAAUAAGCUGAUGUGGUAAAAAAAACAAUUUUUUAAUUAUUAAAUAAACAAAUCUGAUUAUGGGUGGGGCAAAAUCGUCAAAACCAAAUUAAAAUAAAAUAAACUUAUAUAUCAGUACCUUUCGUCCCUUCCAUUAUAAUCGAUCGAUCAAGAUAAAAGCCCAAAAUCGCUCGACAAACCCUAGCUCAACUGAAGCGAAGAAUUUUUGAGAAUCAACCAUUUCGGUACUCAAUCGGUUCAACAAUGAAGUAAGUAUGUGAUUUAGCUUUUCUCUGUUGCUCUGUUACUACCCCAAAAGUAAAAAUCUUACUCAGUUCUCCUGAUAGUCCUACUAUCAUCUGGUGUGAUUUAAAAGAUUUAAGGAAAACAAGCGAGUUAGGGUUUCAGUUAUCUACCCCAAAAAUCCCUCACUGAAAAUGGAAAUGACUGGUAUGGAAGAUGAACUGGAGUUGAGCGAGUGUCUUGAUUCGAUGGGUGAGACUCCAAGGUGCUAUUGUGGGUAUAGAGCUCGAAUGAAGAUAUCUUGGACUAAGAGUAAUUCAGGAAGAAGGUUCUUUGGUUGUCCACACUAGAGCAAGGUAUAGUAAUAUAGUCUUGGUUGGCUGAGUUUUACUCUUAUUCUCUAGGUACUAUAAAAUACACUUGUGUUGAAAUUGUAUUUAUGUUUUGAUUUGGUUUUUAUCAACCAUGCAGGACAAAUUGACAAGCAAACACUGCAACUUCUUUUGUUGGUAUGACCAAGAGAUUUGUAAAAGGUCUAAAGAAGUUUUACCUGAGUUGAAACUUAUGAUAAGUGCUCUAAAUUUAGAAAUAGAAAGAAAGAAGUAUGAAAUUGAGAGAGGCACUGAAAAAAUAAAUGAAUUGGAAAAAAGUAAUGAAAAGCUUCAAAUUGAAUGUGCGGAGCAAAGUGAAGAGGUUGGAAGAUUGAGAGAGGUGAUUGAAUUGUUGAGAAGGAAGGAUAAAAUGUGUAGCACUUCUAUUAAAGCCAUAUUAUUAGGCAUGAUAUUUGUAUUCAUGUUAGGACAUCUGUAUGUGAAUGAUAGUGGUGAAUAAUUGUAAUUUAUAGUUUGAAUUAUGUAUAAAAGAACUAGUUUGCAAUGAAUGGUGAAAGUUGGUUUUAACCUAUGAAACCUUUGCAAUAAAUGUAAUUUUUAGAUUGCAAUGAAUGAUUGUAAUUUUUAGAUUUGCAAUGAAUGAGUUUUAUUGAUGAAAAAAGUUAGUUUGAAUUAUGUAUGGUUCAAGUCAAGCUGCAAUGUUAAAGGUGCACAAAGCACUGCUUUUCAUAUUUAUAACACUGAUUUUUUAACAAACUGCUGCAAACAAGCAUUGUUAUUUCCAUUGUUAUAACAAACUACUGUUAUAAAAAACUGAUGUUAUAACAAACUGCUGCAAACAAGCAUAAUAUUAAAAGCAACAGAUGAUAGAUGCAUAAUAUUAAAAGCAACAGAUGCAUAAUAUUAAAAGCAACAAUGUGCACCACUUCCAAAAAUAAUGACUUUAGCAUUAAAGCAAUUUGUUCAACAUGUAUAGACAAAGCCACAUAGCUGUCAUACAUAAUGUGCACCACUUGCAUAAAUUAAACCAAGCUGUCACAGUUUGCCAAAACAUAAUACUCCCUCCGUUCCAAAUUAAUUGCUCAGUUUUGACUUUUUAAAGUCAAAUUGACCAUUUUUAAAAUUAAUCUUUUAACUAUUUUUGCUAAAAUAUAGGUGAAGAGAUUAUAACCAAAAGAAAGUAUAUACAAUUUAUUACUAAUCUCAAUUUUUAUAAUUUUAGAAAUAUAUUUAUAUAUGCUUAAUUAUUAAUUCUAAAAAUAGUCAAUUUAACUUAAAAAGGUCAAAACUGAGCAAUUAAUUUGGGACGGAGGGAGUACUACAUAACUUAGUGGCUGACAUAAUGUGCACCACUUGCCAAAACAUAAACCAAAAACAUAAGCUAGAGUAUUUAGCUCUAUUCAAAUACUACAUAAUAUUAAUUGGUUGAACUCCUAUAAUACUAAUAAUAUCCAUCAUGCAUAACUUGAACUAGAUAUCCACAAAUUUCUCUUUUGCCUUUGCAUCCUGUCUUGUAUUCCUUCCAUUGAUUAGUUGAUUUGCAGAAAUCCAAUUUCUUCCCCUAGAUUGGAAUGUAGAUGGCCUCAUGGCUGACAUGGAUGUUGAACCUUGAGUAUUCUCUUGGCUUUGAUUGUGAGGAUUUUCUUGACUUACAUUAGAACCAGUUGAAAUCUAAAAAGUAUUAAACAAAAACAAUUAGUAAUGUAUGCUUUAAUAAAGUAAGCAUGCUAGACAACAGAGGUAGUAUUUACCCUAGUAUAUUGUGCCCCACUUGAUAUGUAAGACUCCUCACUUGCAGAUACGUAGACACCAAACCCAUCUCUACCUCCACUUCUCCCUUUCCCUCUCCCUCUCCCUGGUGGCCUACCUCUUCCUCUUCCUUGACCUCUAGUGCCUGGGGGCCUACCCCUUCCUCUUCCAGUCCCUGGUGGCCUACCUCUGCCUCUUCCACUUGCUGCAGCUGUAACAUCUCCACUUGUCUCUGCACUACUUGUUGCUCCUCCACCUCUCUCUGCAGUUCACAGAAUUAAACAGAUGCAUGUUAGUUUUCUUUGCAAAUUAAGUAAAAAAAAUUGUAUCUUUGCAAAUUAGUUGUAGUUACCUUUUUCCUUUUGAAGCUUUUGAAAUGAUGUGUUCUUGCAAGUGCUCAUAUUAUGACCAAUCUGAUUGCACCUCCGACAUGUCAUCAAAAUUCCUUUUUCGACAAUCUUCCACUUGCACCUAUCUUAUGUUCCUCAUGUAGAUAUUUAAUCCUUUGUUUUUUUGGCCUUCCAGGAAGCACUUUAAGUUUUGGGGAUAAUAACUUCUCCUUGCCUGAAGGUUCCCACAAAUCUGGUCCAUUUAUACCUUUCAAUGGAAACUGAUAAGAUGCCAAGUAAGCAUCUCUCUUAAGUAUUGCAUAGACAUAUUCAUCUCGUUCCUCCCUUUGCUCAUAAAUGGCAGCAACUGCAUGUCUACAAAGGAUACCAUCAAGAUCUCAAGCUCUACAAGCACAAGUCUUGUUCACCAAACUUACUGUCCUACCUUCAAGUCCACCAUCCCUUUUUACUUCAUACCCCUCAAAACCAUCCCACUUAGCAUCAUACAAGAAACUAUCAUUCUUUGCAUCCUCUAAUUUUUUCCUAAUUCUAGGAGGCAGUACAUCAUCACCUCUCAACAUCAUUAUCUCGUUUCUUAUCAAUCUCUCCAUAAUAUGCUCUCUCAUAUCCUCAAGCAUCUCAAUUAUAGGCUUUUGUCUUGCAGCAACUAUCCAACCAUUGAAUGUUUUUGACAAAUUGUUGGUGGUGAUAUCACACUUGCACAUGUCACUGAAGAAAGCUUUGCACCACUAUUUUGCAUCUUGUUUUGACAACUGCUCAUGUGCCUCUACACUUAACUGUUUCAGUUCUUCCAUUUGAUCCAUGUAAUGCUUCCUAGUUAAACUAUUAGAUAUUUUUGAGAAUGAGGAUUUCAACUCAAAUCCUUUGUUCUUUUUCCGACAGUUUGCGUAGAUGUGUCUAGCACAACAUCUAUGUUCAGCUUGAGGUAUAAUUGUCUUGAUUGCAUUAUCCAAACCCUACACAGAAACAUGAUUGCAUUAGCUAUAUAUAACAAACAUUUAUAAUAUAGUAAAUGCAAAAUAAAAUAAAAUGAAGUACCUUUUGUUGGUAUGUUAUCACUAUGAGACCAUAUCCUCCACCGAGAUAACCUAGAUCAUCCAUUAAAACAUGCAAAAACCAAGUCCAGCUGUAUGUGUUCUCAACCUCUACUACUGCCCAAGCAAUGGGAUACAUUUGAUUAUUUGCAUCCCUCCCAACUGCACAUAACAACUCACCCUUACAUAUUCCUUUGAGGAAACAUCCAUCAAGGCCAAUUAUUGGCCUACAACCUGCCAACAUUCCUCUUUUCAGAGCAUUAAAUCCUAUAUAAAAUCUUUGAAAUCUCCCUGGUUCCUUUGGUGACUGCCUAUCUACUUUGAUUUCAAAUGUUGAUCCUUUGUUAGCCCUCAUCAAUUCCUUCUCAUAGUCCCAUAACUGUCCAUAUAUAUCAUCAAUUGUUGCAUAAGCACGCUUGAGUGCUAUUUCUCUGGCCCUGUAGCACUGACUCAGUGACGCUCUAACUUUUAAAUGCUUCUUCACUUCCCAUUGGAAUUCUGAGUUUCCAAAAUGGACAUGCUUUUAUUUCAUCAUAAUAGUGCUUGGCCAAAAACCUUGCAUUUACUUGUCUAUUUUUCUGUUUAUUUGUGUACUUGCGAACAUUGUUAUACCUUUUAACAGUAAAAGUGUUCUCAUGUUUCAACACACUUUCCCAUAAAUUACAAGGGCAACCCUGUGCACACUUCACUUGUACCUUAUCCCUUGUAUUUUUUGGAAACCAUACAUUAUACUUUUUUUCAAUUGCAUAUUGUUUCACUGCCUCUUUAAAUUCCGUGGUUAGUAAAUUUCAUUCCAACAAAAAAUUCAACAUUUUUAAUGUCAGUCUUUGGAUUAAACUCAAGAUAUUUUCUCUUUCUUAUAUUGGUUUGUUUCGCCUCAUCAUCUUCAUUCUCACUUGUUUCAGGUGUGUGCAGCUCAUCAAAGUCUAAGUCAAUUUCAUCCCAACCUUUAGCUUGUUCUCUUUGCCCACCUUCAUCAACAGGUCCCUGCCCACCUUCAUCAACAGGUCCCUGUCCAAUUUCAUCAACAUCAACAUCAACAUCAUUUCCUCCUUCAUUUCCUUCUUCAUUUUCUUCAUUUGUUUUUCUUCUUAUGUUCCUCUUUUUCCCUCUCUUUUGUUGCUCUCAAAUUUUGCCUAGCAGCAAGUAACUCUUCAUCACUCUCAACUAACCAGUCACAAUUACUACUUAUAUCAGAGUCUGUAUCUCCUACUCCUUCAUAUUCUAUAUCCUUCUCAUUAUCAGUCUGAAGCACAUCAACCUCAAUCUCUUCUACUCCCUCAUUAUUUGAAUGUUCUUCAAUGUUAACAUCUUUUAAAACAUCAACAAAUCCCUCACUGUCAUCAUCUAUGUUCACAUCAGUACUUACUAUUUCAUGUUCAUGGUCUGAGUAUAUCUCAACAACAGGGUUCUUCUUAGCAAUACUCACACAUGUCAAUAACUCCUUUAUCAUAACCUACUGCCCUAGGCACUUCUGCUAAACUUUGUCCAGGGAUAAGAUAAUAUACAUUUUUCACAUUCUUGUUUCCAAGUAUUGUUGAAACAUAAUCAAUAAUCCCAGGCCCAGUUAUAUAAUUAGGAUCAUAUUUAAACAAUUCACUAACAGCGCCUCCAACAUAAUCAACUAUAUCACCAUUAUUUAUUAGUUUACCACCAUAAUGAAAUCUUAAAGUAAUGACAUCCAUUUCUACAUUAAAAAAAUAUAUAAAAAUAUUUAUAUAUAUAUAUAUAUAUAUAUUUAACAAGUACUAAACAUAAAGUAAACAAAUAGGGACCUCACAUGAGUUAGGGAGAUAAAACUAUGGGGAACUAAGAGGGAAUACUACUUUACAGUUAGGAGACUACAUUUUCUUAGCAAUACAAACAUAAUGCCCAAAUAUCACACAUAUUCAAACCAUAAACAUACACUUACUUCGCUGAAACUUCGAAAGUGGGGACCUAAAGUAGGGAGCUUUGUUGUUUGUGCUUAACGCCGACUCAGCAAAUAUUGCACAUGCACGGUCCUUCUUCGCUGGAAUCGUGAUGAAAUCGUGUCGGAAUGGUUGUCUGGUUCACCAAAUUCUUCGCCAAGAAUCGAUGAUUUACAGAAAUGGCUUCGGGUUUUUUUGAGCGAUUUGGGCUUUUGUCUUGAUCGAUCGAUUGAAAUGGCUGAGAUAUUUAGAAAUAAGUUUGUUUUAUUUUAAUUUGAAAUGUUAAUUUGGUUUUAACGAUUUUGCCCCCACCCAUAAUCAAAUUUGUUUAUUUAAUAAUUAAAAAAUUAUUUAUUUUGCCACAUCAGCUUAUUAAGGCCCCACACAAUUAGCCACGUCAGCAAUUUCUGGCAUGGCAUGUUCAAUUUGUACUAUUUUGAAAAAAUGAAAAGUUUAAUCAUCUAAUUGACAAAAUUGAAAGGUGGAUCAUCAAAGUGGAAUAUGGCCUAUAGUUUAGGGUACUAAUUCAUAUUUAAGCCUUUUAAAAUUUAAUGUAUAAGGCUAAGGAAUGACAAGGCACCCUACAGAGUACUUGCAGGUUUUUCAGAGCCAUCGUAUAUAAAGCUCUCCCCUAUUUGCACCCAGCCCUUACA